AAGACGCACAAAUGCAUUUUAUUGAAGAGUAUAGUAGCUGUCUUGUAACCAGCUGUUACAAGAAGCAUGGCUCUGGAAAGGACGCAAAAAGAACUUCCAACAGCCAAAGCUACAUAAACAAUUAUGAGAGUAGAACCUCUAACUGCAGGUUUCACAUCAUCUGACACGGGACUUGCCCAAGCCAUCCAAUAAUUGCUUCCAAUCUGAAGCAGCUGAAAGAGAAUCUGUGACAACAAUAUAAAGGGCACAAGAGCUCCUCCAUAUGCUGUCCUGAUGUAUUUCCAAUAAACCCAUAGCCCAACUUUACCUUUCUCUCUCUCCUCUUCUUGAACAAGCUGACCUUUUGGUCCAUCUAUCUCCUCUGCUUUACCAUUUUGGCCACCUCUGUUUUCUUCUUUUUCAACUACUUCAGAAGUACCACCAAUAUUAUCACUAUCCUCAAGGAUACUUAAUUUUUCUGAAAGUGACCCUGCCUCUACAGAAUUGAGUGCUAACAAAGCUUUCUUAUGUGCACCAACAAGUUCCAUAAAAUCAGUUCCAGAGUUGAGAAUUUCAUUGUACUUUCCUGCUUGUGUAACCCUUCCAUCUUUCAUGACCUGCAGGUAUGCUACAUUUCUUAAGUUUAUCUAAUGAAAACAAAGGCAAGGAAGAAAAAACAUUGUAAUUACUCACCAGUAUGAGAUCAGCAGCAGGUAAGAACUCUACUUGAUGUGUAACAUAAAUCACUGUUUUCGAACCCGAGAGACCCAGCAAACAUUCCUGUUAUAUGAAGAUUACUUACAAAUACGAUCAAUGAAAGAUUUUUUUUUUUCAUUUAUUAUAUAUAAUAAAAAGGAAAGGAAACAAAACAAAGGGCAAUGGCAUAGCAAGGGUCCCUAAUUACCUCAGCCAGACCAAGAACCAAAUCUUAUAUAGCCCAUAGCAGUGCAUAUUAAAACAUACAAGGAUAGCUCAUUUUCUACUUAAUGCAAUGGCAUUGUAUAGAUAAUAUGUUGUUUUACUUCAUAUAUAUAUAUAUAUAUAGAUCAAACUCAGGCUUUUAUAAGAGAAAAAAAUUACCUUAAAGAGAUGGGUUCCUGUAUGAGCAUCCACGGCACUGAAGGGGUCAUCAAACAGAUAAAUAUCAGCAUUUUGGUAGAGCGCACGUGCAAUCUGUAUUCUUUGCUUCUGGCCACCACUCAUAUUGAUUCCCCACUCACCUAUUACUGUCUGAUCACCAAAUGAGAGAACCUCCAGGUCCUUCUUUAAGGAACAUGCAUCAAGGACCCUUUCAUACCUUUCUCUUUCCAUCUCCUUACCAAACAAGAUGUUCUCUUCUAUCUUGCCACUCUGUAUCCAAGGAGACUGAGCAACAUAGGCCUUUGUUCCACACAGCUUAAGGAUACCAGAUAUCUUAGGCACUUCUCCCAACAUACAAGAUAGUAAGCUUGACUUGCCUGAGCCUACAGUACCACAAACAGCAACCCUCAUGCCACGGCACACCCGCAAAUUAAUAUCCUUCAGUGUUGGAUUAGGGGAAGAUAAAUCCCAAGAGAAAUUCCCAUCCACUAUCUCAAUUGCUGUAUCAGAACUACCUUUUGGAAGCCUCUCGAUAACAUCACUCGGCAGGUCAUCCAGACGAAGAAAGGAUGCAAUUCUGUCAAGGGAAACUUUAGUCUGAGCUAUCAUUGAGAUUAGGUCAGGAAGACUGUAGAUGGGUUCUUGAAGUAUCCUGAAUGUUGCAAGUGAAGAUAAGAUCUUCCCUGAUUCAAGCGGGAUCCCUAGAAGCAUGCAAGUUCCAAAGGUGGCCACAGACACAAAUGUUGGGGCUCCCCAGAAAACAAAAGUGGUCACGGCUGAAGUGUAAAGAUAUUUUUUCAACCACCCUGUCUCAUUCUUCCGAAGGUCUACAAUUUUGGACAAAAACUUCAUCUCCCAUCCCUGAAGCUUGAGAAUCCUCAUGUUUCUUAAGAUCUCGGAUGUUGCCUUCAUCCUUUUAUCUUUUGAUUCCAUCAACUUGUCCUGAAACUUCUCUUGCCAUUUCCCUAGUGGAACAUUUGUCAACAUAACAAUUACAGUUGCAAAGAAAGCUGCAACUGAAGCAAGGCCCAGGUUUUUAUACAAGAUUAGCAAGGCUAAAGUAACUUGCACAAUCACCAUCCAUGGAUCAUGCAUAUACCAACUGAAAUCCCCAAUUCUCUCCGCAUCAACAGACAUAAAAUUAAUGAUCUCCCCAGUAGAAUGACCCUGCUUUGACUGGCAGGAAAGAGUCAAACCCUUGUUGUAGAUCAUUGUGAUCAGUACUGCUCUGAUCCUAAUUCCAACCUGCUGCAAUCUAAAGAACCAGUGCCUCACUGAAAGGCGCUCAACAAGCUUCGCAACAAAAAAAGCCAUAGCCAAAAGAUAGCCUUCAUUUUUGAAUUCCCUCCGCCCAUUGAGAUAUUGAACGAAGGUAUCAAUAAGAUAGGGCCCAACAUAAGAUGCUAAUGUCUUUACAAGUACCAAGAAAGCCGUCAAUAGGAUUUCUGCCCAGCAUGCAAAGAUCAAUGCUUUCACCAGCUUAAGCGUGGUCACUCCACUACUUCCACCACUAUCACACUGGAGCUUAUUACUAAAUGCUGGAAAGACCCCCGCAACGCUGUUGCUGGUAUCAAGCUGAGGAACAUCCUCAAGGUCUAAUGUUUUCUUGUUACCCUCAGCAAUCAAGGGACCGAUCCAAGAGAAAGUAAGAAGGCUAAAAAAACCAGCUUUUGAAAAGGGGGUCACAGUUGCUUCCCCCUUGGAUUUAUUGGACUCCACUCUACUUAUACUGGUACUACCAUUCAAAAGGGGUUCCCUAAGAAUCGAUUCCUCGCCUUGAUUCUUUCCCAAAAACCCCGAGUAGCACAAGAACAGACCAGUUAUGACGUAGACAAUAUCGGGCACCAAAUAUUGAAUUCGUAGGGACUGGUGUUUCUUGACAAUAUCUAGAACAAGGAAAUAACAUGAGAUGGAGAAGUAAAAUCCCCACCAAACUCUUAACAAAAAUGGGAACUUUGGUUCAACAGAACCAAUGAAUUGAGUGUGCAAAUAUACACAGACUGCUCCCCAGGCAAGUGUUCUGAGCACUAAAUCCAAAAGGGUCACCAGCCUUUCAUCAGACCAGCCAUUUCUAUACCAAUAAAAGUAGUUCAAAAAACACAACAACAAAUUCAACAGCGACAGACCCUGACAGCAAGCAAACGUUUGCUUAUAGUACAAAAACCUAGUCCUCUUACAAUUUUCAGGAGCACCCCCCUUGAUUCUCUUGCACACCCAUGAUACAAACAGGAGAAGCAACAAAACUAGAUGCAAUGAGGCAGAAAAUACACGUAAAAAGACGGGGUUUAGCAGAAAACCGGUACCAGGAUACGUAACCAUGGCUUCGAAUCCCACCAUUUUUUGAGAAUCUUUGGCCUCUGCUAAAAGUGUAUUUUGGAGGUGUGCUUAUGAAUCGAAAGGGAUGAUUUCUGGUGCUUUAUAUACGAAAAAUAAGACGGUAUUUCCCCGGUUUUAAGAGUGUAUUCCACAAAGUAAGUCAGUCAAAGGAUAUUUCCUUGGGCGCGGGAUAACUUGGCAGCCAAGCUUCAGUUGACGGAGAUAGUAAAUUUCUAAUGGCUAUGAGAGAACUCGAAUUGGUGAUGGAAAACAAAGAUCAGACCAAUUUAACUAUCCCUCAAGGAUAUAAAUAUUUGAGAAAUUCUUUUCUACUAUCUUAUUUUCAAUAAUAUUUCUUGGAGACAAAUUUCAAACAACCAUGAUAAAAUAAAUAAAUAAAUAAAUAAAAAAGUUUAUUUAGCACUUUAAUUUUAAUUAUUAUUAUUUAUUUAAAUUUAAAUUCAAUUAUGAAAUUUCUUUUCCUUUUAAGUAGAAAAUGAAUUGAAUCCCCCUUUCAUCAUCACAAUGACUAUAUUUAUUAAAAGUCAAAAUUAUAGGAGUCAUAAUUGGCUGUUUAUCUUGUCAUCUUGUGUUUUGCUUCUAAACAACCCGUCAAAAAAUAACCUUAAAAAUAGGCUACACAAAAUGUGGAGAUUCCAAAAUAUUGGUUUUAUAUAUGUAUAUAUUUAUCUUUUUGGGGUAGAGCAUGUUGAUAUCCAUGAAAGACAAAAUACUUUCUGCUCCACCAUCUGGCUGGAAAGUCCCACUUUGGCGGACCACAGGAGGGUCGGGAUUCACAGGAACCACAAAGCCUUGAAAAUUAGGGCCACUCACAUGACUUUAUAUGCAACAAUGACAUAUAACCAAUUCCCUAUUUAUGAUGCCACUGAUUUUCUAGCCACGUGUUUGACUAUUGAAUAAUUAUUGUGGAAUUAUUUUCUUUUGAUGUAUGUAUCGUGUAAGUUUCUAAAAGUUAAAAAUGGGUUCACUUUUAGUGAUUUACACUUAAAAGGAAUUGAAGUUCUGAAAUGUUGGAGAAGAACUUCAAGGGGAAAUUUUAAAAUAAGGAAGUGAUGAUAUGAUUAAGAUAGUUAGGGUAAAGAUUAAAAAUUAGAUUUAUGGUUAAUCAUAAUGUUUUCAAAAUCGGAUCGGUCAUUAAACCGGAAAAGUUACCGGUUCAUGGUUCAUUGGUCGGACCGAUGAUCGAACUACGAUCGAAUUGACGAUUGAGGCGUGAUCGAAUCAGUGAUGUCAUAAAUAUAUAAUUUAUAAAUGAUUAAAAUUUAAAAAAAUUAUAAAAAAAUUAUAUAUUAUUUAAAAAUUUAAAUUUUAUUUAAAAGUCAGAAAAGUAGUUUCAAAUUAGAAAUUUAAAUUAAAACCAUAAUUUUAAUUUAAAAUUUAAAUAAAAAACUUAUUUUAAAAUAAAAAAUUUAUUUAAAAUUGUAAUGUUUUUAAUUUUACCAUCAAAUUAUAUCUCAUACCAUCCAUGUAAAUCCAUAUAAAAGGCAUUUUUUACUUUAUCAAUUUCAGCUCCCAAUCUCCACAACACCGUUGCUUUGAAGACUAAUAAAUAAACAAAAAAAGAAAAAUUUUUAAAAAUUGAAUAUUAAACAUAAUGUCAUAAUAAAAAAACUCAUUAAAAUUAUUAAAUAUAAAACAUAAAAAAUAAUUUUCAAAAUAUCAACUUGCAACUACUAGGCAGAGUCGGAAGACACACACAGUCGGGUUUUCAAGAGAGGCGCUUUGAUUGGGGGAUGGUUCUAACGGGUUUUGCGUCGGGACGACCGAGAGGGCGGGUAGGCGAUGUAACGAUCGAGGAAACCGCCGAUGGGAACUGGUGUAGGUGUUGUAGUGUGUUAGGGGGUAGUAGCUUCUUUACCUUCGGUUCAGAUGGAGAAGGAAGGGUUAAGGUGUUUUUAUGUCACGCCCCAAGACCCAUUCCAAGGGCGUGACGGUCAUUUCACACCUCAAACCUAGAGGGUUAAAGUGUAACUUGACCCAAACAAUUAUCUUGUAACUGAAAGUUACCAAUUACCAAAUACUUGUUCAGAGUAGCGGAAUAAAAUUCUAAAAUCUUCAAAACUUAACUUUAAAACUAAGCAUCCAUCAACCAAAAUCCAUUAUCCAAAUAGAUUGCGAACUCAAACAAUUCAAGUGCUAACAAAAUUUUCAUAAUCUCCAAAUCUCAACUUCAAACUAUCAUAAAAAAAAUUUAAAAGUUCAAUAUCUAAAUAGCUUCCAAAAACCAAAUAAUCCAAAUGAACAUAAACUUAUAAGCUAACAAUGUCCAAAAAUAACAUCCUAAGCAAAAUCCUAAUGAUGACCAUUCCCCAUCCUAGCCAUCACUCCUCGCCCAAACUAAGAGGACCUGAAAAGUAAUCAAUAAAGGGGAAUGAACUCAAAGUCUAAUAAAGAAUAUUAAUACAGUUUCAUGGAUUAAAUAGUUUCAAUCGUGCUUACAAAUAGGAGAUUUAGUGUAAAAUCAUUUUCAUAAAAACGUUUGAGUACAAAUAUACUAAUACAUUUUAAGGUGUUUAACCAAACAUUUUCCAAUAUAUGAAAAUCAUUUUAUAUCCAUUUCAAUUCAAAUACAUUUCAAUUGUUUUCACUCUGGUUAUUAAAUAAAAAAUAGUGCCCAUUUAAGUGGGACUUUACAAAUAGGUGACUAGCCUCAAAUGUUCAUUUUAAGGUGGACGGAAUCAAACACUACUAGUACUAGUAACCUCUAACCAAACCCCUAGAGGCUGGGGUUCAAAUCAAUUACAUUUCUCACCACGAAAAUGUAAAGGUCAACUAUUAUAUCCUAUUAAGAAGGGCCAAAAACUCAACUAUUAUAUCCUAUUGACAAAGGCUAAACAAACCAGAGUCAAAUUCUUUAAUUUAUUUAUUCCAACUUACAAAUGCAAAAAAUCUCCAAGUAUUUCAAUAUAAACAAAAUAAAUGUUAUAACACAUUUUUCCAUACAAAAAUAUAUUUGAUUCAUGCUUAAAAGCAAAAUUAACAAUUACAUAUUUCAAACAACAUAUAUAUAUAUAUAUAUAUAUAUAUAUAUAUAUAUAUAUAUAAUAAUUUUUUUUUACAAAAUCUGUAUUAAUUUCCCUUACCUCAAAAGAAGUGGCCAAAAACUUGGAUGAAAAAUAAUUAUGGAAAAUCUACUCUUCACCUAACAAAGUAUAAGAGAAAUAAUCAUUACUAUUUAUCUAAAAUUAUAGGUUUGACAAUUCUAAAAGUUUAGGUAUUCAAAUUAAUGUUUUUAAUUAUGAAAUAUAAUUUAAUCUAUUCAUAUUUUAGAAAAAUUAAUAAAUUUCAAAUUCAUAUAAAACUUAAAUUUUAUUUUCAACUUAUUUCUUAGGACACAACAUAAUUUAAUUAAACUACAAUUUAUUCUACUAAUUAAAUUUUAUGUUACUUAUUAACUUACACUCAUCAUUAGUAUAAUAAUAUUGAUAACUUACUUUCAGUUUUUUUUUUUUUUUUCACUAAACAUAAAUUGUAUCCCCAACAAUUCUCCAUUAUUGCUAACAUAUAUAUAUAUAUAUUAACCACCAAACACCAUCUAUACACAUCUUCCUUUAUUAUUAAUAUUACUAUAUAUUUUUUCUUUUCACCAUUCUCCAUCUUCCACAAGCACGCAUUCUUAUUUCUUUCUUUCUUUUUUUAAAAAAGAACUUCCUCUAGUGCACAUGUGUUCUCUUUUUUUCUUUUUUUUUUCCUAAUAUCUUCUUAUCCCUUAAGCCACAUAUAACAAUAUAUUUAUUUGCUCAUUUAUUUUUAUAUUGUUUAAAAAAUUGAUUACUUAGAUCUAUUCAUCUAAGAAAUUUUGAAUUUCCCUAUUUUCAUCAAUAGAACAAUCUAAUUCCUAAUUUCAAUAAAAGUUUUAAAUAGGUUAACUCUAACCUAAAUUGAAAUCUUCUAGAGAAUCAUUUUUUUUUUAAACUUAAGAUUUCCCAAUUUCUAACAAUAAAACCACCAAUAAUCCUAAUUUUCCAAUAUUUUGAUAUUAAAACGAAUUAAAAAAAUAAACUAAUCCUAAUCUAAAUUUUAAAAAAAGAUUCAAAGAAUAACUAGCGUGUUCAAAACUAACUAACGAAUAUAAUAUAUUAAUUUAGUGUUAGAAUCUUACCUAGAAAAAAAGCCUGAACUUCAACUCUGAAUCUUUAACCCUUGAGCCCUACGAUCUCCAACUCUUUACUUUUGGUUGAUAGGGUUUUUUGAAUGAAGAAGACAAGAGAAAAAAUCCAACUUAUACCUAGGAUUUUUAAUUGUAAAAGCACUCUUUCACCUUAAUGAAUUUAAUUAAUUACUUAAUUACUUAAUUACUUUAUAAAUUACUAGUUUGCCCCUAUUUUAAAUUUUGGGGUGUUACAUCCUCCUUCCUUAAAAAAGUUUAGUCCUCUAAACUUGACAUACUUGGGUCUUGAAAAAGAUGUGGGUGCUUUUCUCUCAUCUCCUCUUCUAAUUGCCAAGUGGCUUCUCGAAUAUUGUGAUUGCUCCAUUGGAUUUUUACUAACUUGACAACAACAUGACGUAGUAUCUUGUCCAUCACAUCCACAAUCUGAACGGGCACCUCUUCAUAGGUCAAGUCCGCAGAAAUUUGAAUAGGCUCCAACUCCACAACAUAAGAGGGAUCAUAAAUAUAUUUCCUCAAAGUCAAAACAUGAAAUACAUUAUGAAUCUUAGAUAGACUUAGGGGCAAGGCCACUUUAUAAGCCAAAGUGCCUAUUCUUUUUAAUACCUUAAAUGGUCCUACAAAACGAGGACCGAGUUUCCCUUUUAUUUCAAAUCUCAUUAUAGACUUCAUAGGUGAAACUUUCAAGAAAACAUGAUCAUCCCCUCAAACUCCAAAUCUCGUUUGCAAUUAUCAACAUAACUCUUCUGUCUACUUUGUGCUGCUUUCAAUCUUUCUUUAAUUAAAGAGACCUUUUCAACUGUCAACUGCACAAGUUCGUGCCGCAAAAUUUUAUUCUCUCCAACAUCAUCCCAACAAACAGGAGAUCGACAUCUCCUACCAUAUAACGCCUUAAAAGGUGUCAUCCCAAUGCUAGCUUGAAAGUUAUUGUUAUAGGCAAACUCCACUAGGGGCAAAUAAUCAUCCCAAUUACCUUUUAGGUCUAAAGCACAAGAUCUCAACAAAUUUUCCAAGACCUGAAUUACCCUCUCUGAUUGACCAUCAGUUUGCGGAUGAAAAGUAGUACUAAAACUUAACUUAGUACCUAAUGUUUUCUGUAAACUAUGCCAAAAUCUAGAAUUGAAACGAGGAUCUUUGUCAAAUACUAUAGAAACAGGUACACCAUGCAUUCUCACAAUCUUCUUAAUAUAAAGAGAAGCCAAACGAUCCAUAGAAAAAUUGACUUUCAUAGGCACAAAAUGAGCAGACUUUGUCAGUCGAUCCACAAUUAUCCAAAUAGGAUUAUUACCCCCUAAGGUUCUUGGCAACCCUAUUACAAAGUCCAUGGUAAUAUGUUCCCAUUUCCAUUCAGGAAUAGAAAUUGGUUAUAAUGAUCCUGUUGAUUGUUGAUGCUCAAUUUUCACCUAUUGGCACACCAAACACUGAGUCACAAAUCUUGCAAUAUCCCUCUUCAUACUUGGCCACCAAUAAUUUUGCUUCAAAUCUCUAUACAUCUUCGUCUUUCCUGGGUGGAUCGCAAACUUAGAACAAUGAGCUUUCUCCAAUAGCUCUCUUUUUAAAUCUCCAUCAUUUGGGACACAAAGUCUAGUCUCAAAUCUCAAAAUCCCAUCAUCUGAUAAGACAAAGUUAGGCUUAAUACCCCUCUUAACUUCCUUUGUAAGCCGCACUAAUUGCAUAUCAUUCUUUUGUAGGGUCUUAAUUCUCCCAACCAAGUCUAGUUGGACUCUAAAGUUUGCCACAAGAGCUCCCGAGUCCAAAACUCUUAUAUGGACUUGUAAACUCCUCAAAUAUUCCAAUAAUUGCCUCUAACAACCUCUAAUAGCUACUAAGGAACCAAGAGAUUUCUUGCUUAAGGCGUCAGCCACAACAUUCGCCUUCCUUAGGUGAUACUGAAUAAUGCAGUCAUAGUCUUUAAGUAGUUCAAUCCACCUCCUCUGUCUCAUGUUCAAUUCCUUUUGGGAAAAUAAAUACUUCAAACUCUUAUGAUCUGUGAAUAUCUCACAAGUUUCACCAAAAAGAAAAUGUCUCCAGAUCUUAAGUGCAAAAACCAUUGCAGCUAACUCCAAAUCAUGAGUAGGAUAAUUUUGGUCAUAAUGCUUCAAUUGUCUAGAAGCAUAAACUACAACUUUCCCAUGUUGCAUAAGAACACAACCCAAACCCAGACGAGAGGCAUCACUAUACACCACAAUCCCUCCUAAGCCUAAAAGGAUAGUCAAAAUAGGAGUUGUCAUUAAUUUGUUAUUUAACUCUUGGAAACUACGUUCACAAUCAUUAGACCACUCAAACUUAACCCUUUUUUGAGUUAACCUGGUUAGAGGUAGGGUGAUCUUAGAGAACCCUUCAAUAAACUGCCUAUAAUAACCAGCUAGUCCUAAGAAACUUCGAAUUUCGGUCACAGUAUUAUGUCUCCUCCAAUUUGACACAACAUCUACCUUUCCAGGGUCAACAGAGACGCCAUCCUUGGUCACCACAUGCCCAAGGAAAGAGACUUUGUCUAACUAGAACUCACACUUCUUUAGUUUAACAUACAAUUGCUUAUCUCUGAGAGUUUGCAAUACAAUACUCAAAUGGCGCUCAUGCUCCUCCCUACUCUUUGAGUAUACCAAAAUAUCAUCUAUAAAAACCACCACAAACUGAUCUAGAUAGGGCUUGAAUACUCUAUUCAUUAAGUCCAUAAAAGCAACAGGUGCAUUAGUAAAACCAAAAGGCAUAACUAAAAACUCAUAAUGCCCAUAUCUAGUUCAAAAAGCAGUCUUGGGUACAUCUUCACUUCUAACCUUUAACUAAUGAUAACCAAACUGAAGAUUAAUCUUAGAGAACACACAUGCACCCUAAAGUUGAUCAAACAAAUCAUCAAUCCGAUGAAAGGGAUAAUUGUUCCUCAUCGUCACCUUAUUCAACUCUCUAUAAUCAAUACAGAGUCUCAUAGAUCCAUCAUUCUUCUUUACAAAUAAAACAGGAGCUCCCCAAGGUGAAACACUAGGCCUAAUGAAGCCUUUAUCUAACAACUUCUAAAGUUGAAUCUUCAACUCCUUAAGCUCCAUAGGUGUCAUCCUGUAAGGGGUCUUAGAGAUAGGAGUUGUCCUUGGUGCUAAAUCAAUGGUGAAAUCCACCUCCCUCUCUAGUGGCAAGCCAGUUAGAUUCUUUGGAAAGACAUCAAGAUAGUCCCUUACAAUGGGUAUGUCUUCCAACUUUAAAUCAUUUUUCUUAUUCACAACAUAAACCUAAAAGCCUUGACAACCUUUCUUGAGCAAAGAACUAGCUCGCAAGGCUGAGAUCAUAUGCAAUGGUUUGUCCACAUGCUUCCCCUCAAAACAAAAAUCAGCCUGACCAGAAAUGCUAAAUGUCACUCUUUUCCCAAAACAAUCAACAAAUGCAUGGUAUGAAGCUAACCAAUCCAUUCCCAAAAUCACAUCAAAAUCCUCGAGGUCAAAAAGUACUAAGUCAACUAUCAUCUCUCUAUACCCAAUCAUCACACAACAAUCUCUAAGUAUUUUAUUAACCACAACAAAAUCUCCAAAUGAGUAGCAACAAAUAAAUCAAAGUCCAUGUUAUCCAUCAACAUACCUAACAAACCAUCAAAAGAUACAGAAACAAAAAAGUGUGUUGAACCAGGAUCAAUUAAGGCUUUGACAAAUAAGGUAUGAAUUCGAAGAGUGCUUGUUACCACAUCAGAAGUAGCUUGAGCAUCUCUAUGAGUCAUAGCAACCCGCCCUUGAGCCUUGGGCUUCUGUUUAUCCUUUUUAUUCUCCUCCUUAGGCUUCCCAAAUACAAACUUCUUAUUCUUUAGGCAAUCUCAAACCAUAUGUCCCUGUUUUCCACAACCAAAGCAAUCUCCUAUCUCUCUAUAGUAUGGCUUACCCCCAUGUUUCUUGCCACAAGUAGGACAAAUCCCAUCUAAAUUUUAUGCUGCUUUUCUUUUAUUCUGAUUUCCACUUGGAGCAGACUUUUUCUAUGCUUGGUUACCAUGAACACCAUUCUAUUCCUAUUCCUUUGUUGUUCCCUAUACUGGUGAAGCUCUUCAUUAUCCUUCUUUGCAAUAAGGGCUAUAUCUACCACCUAUGAAUAAACUCUAAGCUUCAUAAUUGAUAUCUUAUUCUUCAGAUAAGGCUUCAGUUCAUCUUGAAACUUUAAUGCUUUUUCCUCCUCUAGGCAAUCAACUGUGGGGCAAAACGUGAUAGUUCGGUAAACUUAGCCUCAUACUAGGCCACAAUCAAAUUCCCCUAUUCCAAACGGACAAACUCUCCCACCUUUUGUUGUCGAACACUGUCAGGAAAGUACUUCUUAUAAAAAGCCUCUUUAAACUAACUCCAAACAAUAGGCCCCUGAUCCUCCAAAAGCCUCAUAGUCAUGCGCCAUCAAUGGUCUGCCUCUUUGUCUAACAUAAAUGCUGCAUAAGAUUUGCUCCUCAGAAUAAUUAAUGACAUCAAAGAAUUUCUCUAUCUUCAUAAUCUCAGCCUAUGCCUCUGUUGGAUUUGAAGUACCAGAAAAGUAAGGGAGACCCAACUUCUUAAAGUCAUCAAAGAAGCUACCCCUAGUAGAUGAGGAUUGUCCUUGACCAUUACUUCCAGUAGCUCUAGCCUGACGCUUAACCAAGCUAGCCAAAGUCCCUAAAUAUCUGUAAAGACCUUCAAUACUCAUAGGGGGCAAAGCCUCAAGUGGAGGAGUUAUAUCAUCAUUAGGCUAACUGUUUUGGGAAGAUGCAGGUCUCCUUAGUGGCAUGUUGUCCUAUAAAGCAACAGGUAUAAUUAAAUUAGUCACUAAGAAGCCAAAUAAGCAAAUCAAAAUUGUAAGGAAUAAAAGGAAUCGGACUAGAUGAAGUUGAAACUUAAACUAAUGCAUCACUCAUCUAUUCCCAAAUGUAAACUAAACAAGUUCUCAUUAAGAUCACAACCUGGUGCUCUAAUACCACAUUGUCACGCCCCAAGACCCACUCUAAGGGCGUGACGAUCAUUUCACACCUCAAACCCGAAGGGUUAAAGUGUAACCUUACCCAAACAAUUAUCUUGUAAUUGGAAGUUACCAAUUACCAAAUACCUGUUUAGAGUAGCGGAACAAAAUUCUAAAAUCUUCAAAACUUAACUUUAAAACUAAGCACAUCAACCAAAAUCCAUUAUUCAAAUAAAUUGCAAACUCAAACAAUUCAAGUGCUAACAAAAUUUUCAUAAUCUUCAAAUCUCAACUUCAAACUAUCAUAAAAAAAUUUAAAAGUUCAAUAUCUAAAUAGCUUCCAAAAACCAAAUAAUCCAAAUGAACAUAAACUUAUAAGCUAACAAUGUCCGAAAAUAACAUCCUAAGCAGAAUCCUAAUGAUGACCAUUCCCCAACCUAGCCAUCACUCCUCGCCCGAACUAAGGGUACUUGAAAAGUAAUCAACAAAAUGGAAUGAACUCAAAGCCCAAUAAGGAAUAUUAAUACAGUUUCAUGGAUCAAAUAGUUUCAAUCAUGCUUACAAAUAGGAGAUUUAGUGUAAAAUCAUUUUCAUAAGAACGUUUGAGUACAAAUAUGCUAAUACAUUUUAAGGUGUUUAACCAAACAUUUUCCUAUAAAUCAAAAUCAUUUCAUAUCCAUUUCAAAUUAAAUACAUUUCAAUUGCUUUCACUCUAGUUAUCAAAUAACAAAUAAUGCCCAUUCAAGUGAGACUUUACAAAUAGGUGGCUAGCCUCAAAUGUUCCUUUUAAGGUGGACGGAACCAAACACUACUAGUACUAGUAACCUCUAACCAAACCCCUAGAGGCUAGGGUUCAAAUCAAUUACAUUUUUCACCAUGAAAAUGUAAAGGUCAACUAUUAUGUCCUGUUAACAAGGAUAAAAAAGUCAACUAUUAUAUCCCGUUGACAAGAGCUAAACAAACCAGAGUCAAAUUAUUUAUUUUAUUUAUUCCAACUUACAAAUGUAGAAAAUUCCCAAGUAUUUUGAUAUAAACAAAAUAAAUGUUAUAAAACAUUUUUCCAUACAAAAAUAUAUUUGAUCCAUGCUUAAAAGCAAAAUUAACAAGUACACAUUUCAAACAACAUAUAUAUAUAUAUAUAUAAUUAUUUUCUUUUGCAAAAUCUGUAUUAAUUUCCUUUACCUCAAAAGACGUCCUCAAAAACUUGGAAGAAAAAUAAUUAUGGAAAAUCUACUCUUCACCUAACAAAGUAUAAGAGAAAUAAUCAUUACUAGUUAUCUAAAAUUAUAGGUUUGAAAAUCCUAAAAUUUUAGGUAUUCAAAUUAAUGUUUUUAAUUACGAAAGAUAAUUUAAUCUAUUCCCAUUUUAGAAAAAAUAAUAAAUUUCUAAUUCAUAUAAAACUUAAAUUUUAUUUUCAAUUUAUUUCUUAGGACACAACAUAAUUUAAUUAAACUACAAUUUAUUCUACUAAUUAAAUUUUAUGUUGCCUAUUAACUUACACUCAUCAUUAGUAUAAUAAUAUUGAUAACUUCUAUUCUCUCACUUUCAGUUUAUUUUUUUUUUUCACUAAACAUAAACUGUAUCCCCAACAAUUCUCCAUUAUUGCUAACAUAAUAAUAAUAAUAAUAAUAAUAAUAUAUAUAUAUAUUAACCACCAAACACCAUCCGUACACAUCUUCUUUUAUUAUUAAUAUUACUAUAUUUUCUUUUCUUUUCACCAUUCUCCAUCUUCUACAAGCACGUUUUUUUUUUUAAAAAAAAAAAAAACUUCCUCUAGUGCACACACGUUCUCUUUCUUUUUUUUCCUAAUAUUUUCUAAUCCCUUAAGCCACAUAUAAAAAUAUAUUUAUUUAUUCAUUUAUUAUUAUUUAAAAAAAAAAUUCAUUACUUAGAUCUAUUCAUCUAAGAAAUUUUGAAUUUCCCUAUUUUCAUCAAUAGAAUAAUCUAUAUUUCUAAUUUCAAUAUUUUGACCUAAAAGUUUUAAAUAAGUUAACCCUAGCCUAAAUCGAAAUCUUCCAGAGAAUCAUUUUUUUUUUUUAACUUAAGAUUUCCCAAUUUCUAACAAAAAAACCACCAAUAAUCCUAAAUUUCCAAUAUUUUGAUAUUAAAAUGAAUUAAAAAAAUAAACUAACCCUAAUCUAAGUUAAAUUUUUUUUGAAAGAAUAGCUAGCGUGUUCAGAACUAACUAACAGAUAUAAUAUAUUAAUUUAGGGAUAGAAUCUUACCUGGAAAAAAAACCUAAACUUCAACUCUGAAUCUCUAACCCUUGAGCCCUAUGAUCUCCAAUUCUCUACUUUUGGUUGAUAGGGUUUUAUGAAUGAAGAAGACAAGAGGAAAAGUCCAAUUUAUACCUAGGAUUUUUAAUUGUUAAAGGACUCUUUCACCUUUAAUGAAUUUAAUUAAUUACUUAAUUACUUUAUAAAUUACUAGUUUGCCCCUAUAUUAAAUUUUGGGGUGUUACAUUUUAUAUCCUCCAAAAUGGUGUCAUUUAGAUACUAUAAAUAUUUCAAAAAAAUAAAAAAUUAAUUGAACUGUCUGGUUCGUUGGCCGGACCAUUGGUUCAACCAGUUCGAUUCCGAUUCAACCUAUGUCUGAACCAAUUGACAAGACCGGACUGGAACCGUGACCAGUAGACGGUCAGACUAGCCGAUUCGGUCCAAUUUUUAAAUCCAUGGUUAAUCAUCCAUGGAGGGGUGGUGUUGCAUAAAAUUUGAGUCCACCAUAUCUAGGCAUGCUCAAUCAUAUAAAUUUAUAUAACACUCCACAUCAAGCAUAUUAGGAGAAUGAUAAAAUCAUCACAUCUCAAUCAUCUAUUAUUGAAACUCCUAUAAUGUUGUAAAAUUUAAGAAAAAACAUAUUUUUAAACAUCUUCAAAUAUUGGGUGUAUGUUAUUCUAUUUAUUAUAUGAACAUUUGAGAGACUUUACUGGAAUUUUUAUUUUUUAUUUUUACUAUGAAUAUCAUAUUUAUUUGUGUAAAACUUUUGAUUUAAAUAUUUGUUUUAACUUGAGAAUUUAAACUCUUCAACAAAGGUAAUCUCAUUUAGCUUUCUAUUUAUUGUAGCCUUGCAACUAAUAUCUAGUUUCAAGUUGAAAUUUUUGUUAAGAGAGAAUUCUAGGCUACUGACCGAAAUUUCUCUAUUGUACCAAAAUACUUAGCCUUUUUACGUAGUAACUCUGGUCAAGAAGAACUAGAGAAAGAGUCACUACGACUUUUGUAGUAUUCUGGGUAUCGUUCUCAAGGACUGGCUUAUGAAAAUUGUCAAUACUAGAAUAAAUGAAUUGUUUUGGUUUAAAUCCUUAAGUGAAAAACAAUAUGUGAAUAAUGUGAAACUAAGUAAAAAAAGUUAAAUUAAUAAGAAAAAAAUGAAUAUUGAUUUUAAAUUCAAUUGAUUCAAGUUUGGGGUUUUCCACAAUCCAACCUAGGGUAUAGAAAUUAGAGAAAACAAGGGUAUUUUAAGUAAUAUGAUCUUAGGGUUUUGGGAUCCUUGGCCACUCGCGAUCAAGUUGAGUUCUAUAACUCAAAAUUGCAUCCGAAACCUAAUUUUUCCUUUUUAAAACAGAUUCCUAAAACCAUCAAAUGAAUGAGAUUGAUUAUCAAUUUAAGAUUUGGCUUUUUAACCAUUCCUACUCCUUAUAGCUUUGUUUAGGGGCAAAUAACGGUAGGUAAGAUGAGGAUAACUAAUGAUCAAGAAUUACCAAGAAUCACUAGUAUCAACUAAUAACCUACCGUAUCAUUCCCUAAACGAACUCACAAGGAUAGGAUAAAAAAAAAUGAUAAAUUGUCACUCAACCAAUAAUUAAUCUCAUUGUUAUAAUAAUUUACCCAUUGUCCCUAUAGGUUUCCUAGCCCUUAGGUUUUCAUGCUUCAAGCCCCAAGUUGGCUCUUAGCCUCUCAUGGGGGUGAUGUCACAUUCACAAUCCAUAAUAGGGUAAAAAUCCAUAAUUUGAAUCAAAAGAAACUAAAAACAAUAUAUUCAAUAAAGGAGAAAAAGAAAACAAACCAAAGUUCUCGUCUUCUUCUUCCUUCAAUGUCCAACUCUCCAGAAAAAAAUCCAAGAUUCCUAAAACCUAGAAUUGAGAGAGUUUAUAUAAUAUCCUUAAUUACUUAACAUGUGGCACACUCUCAUUGGCCACUUAUUACAAAAUAAUUUCCUAAAAAUGAUUAAAAAAAUAAUAAAAUGGUGAUUUCUAGUCGUGUGGGGUCCACCUAGGGCGGAUGGAGUUCUUUAGAUGCAAUUCCCGAGGUAGAGGAGGCGGAACAGCAAAGUGGUAGUGGGUGAAUUCGAAAUUGGUGUCAUUUCGAAGUGGAUUUCGAAUUCAUAAGUUGAAUAGAUGCAAUUCCCGGGGUAGAGGAGGCGGAACAUCAAAGUGGCAGUGGGUGAAUUCGAAGUGGAUUUCGAAUUCAUAAGUUGAAUUUCGAAAUCAUAAGUUGAGUUUCGAAAUCAUUUCGAAAUGACCCUCUAGUUUGGUGCAGUUGUCUUCAAAUGGCCAUAACUUCUUCAUUUCAGCUCCGAUUUGCAAACCGUUUGAAGCGUUGGACUGCUGACUUCCCAAGCUUCGAAAAGAUAUAUAGUAUGUAUAUAAUGGACUUCAGAAAGUGCUCCAAAUUUGUCCUCAAAGUUAGAGUAUAUAAUGUCAUAAGAUUUUUGAGUUCUAAAUUUUCAUGCAGCUAAAUCUUGCUUCAUGCCUCAUUUCCCACGCUUUCUUGCCUUCUUUCUUACUCCAUAAUGGUCAUUUAUCAUCUUCCAACCUCAUGAUAUCCUUGUUUUGCCUUUCUUUACGUUCAAUGAGUCUUGACUCACUUAUUUCCUCAUUUAGCCCUUUUUUGAUCUUUCAAAAUCUAAAGUCAUUCAAUUUGCACAAUUUUCUUCCCUUGAACCUGAGAUAAGUCUCCAAAGUACAAAUUAAACUCAUGGUUAGGGCCUUAGCAUUGAUUUAGGUCAAGUUGGGUGAUUUGAAUGUCCUUUGGUGUACAAAUCAUAUCAAAUAUGUACCAUUAGAGCACAUAUUUUGGCUCCAAUCAUUCCCCUCAACCUAAACUUUGCUAGUCCCUAGCAAAUGAAAAGAGUAAAAAAGAAUGAAAAAUAUGUAAUGAGAUUCAUUAAACCAUAUUAACUCAACAUAACAUGUUUCACACACAAGAUACCCAAGUAGACAAAUUUCCUAGAAUUGAGCAAGAUGACACAAGAUAUGCAAUUUCUUAGUUUUCUCACCUUAUCUUCAUAUACAUAAAUGUGCAUCCAUGUUUAGCAUUCCCCUUAGUGCCUCUUGAUUUUCCCUUGAUUGGUUCUUUCCACCUAAACCUCAUGUGCUUAAUUUUGGUGUCCCCUCAUAGAAUUUUUCUUAAGACUUUUUCUUAAACUCAAAUUUCAUCAUUCUUUAAGUUAAAGAGGAGGAAAAUUUAUUUUGAUUUUUCUUUCUUAGUUUAGGGAAUCUCCUUCUAUAUGGCUUAAUAGGGAUCCACCGGCAACUCCCGAGUUUUCACCCAAGGUACUAGGUAUUGAUUUGAUGCAACUCAUGGUACCUUAGCUUUAAAGGCGUAUCAACAAAAUUUAUACCUUGAAUACUAUUACUAAAGUAGCCAAGCUACUAUAGCAUAGUGGUUCUAGGAUCGUUCACUGGGAAGGGUUUUCGCAAACACUAGUGAUAUUCAAAUUAGGAAAAUAGGUGAUUUUCUUAUGGAUGUUAGCUUUAAAAGAAGAUGUAAAUGUUUUAGAAAGAUUUAAACUAAUCUAAGCUAACAUUAAAGACUAAAAUGAAAGGGUGUAAAAACAAGUUUCUCAAAGAUAGGAUAGCUAUGCUCUGGUUCUUAUGCAAAUUGGAAAUCUCAGGAUAGGCUCCUCGCGUUGGGGUUGCAACUAUGGUGAUGCUUGCUUCCCGAACUGGUAUGGAUUUAGCAAAUCAAGUUUUAAUCCUUUAAAAUGACAAAACAGAUGGUAGUGAAUUUCAUCAAUGGUUAUUCACCUUAGACUUCCUUUGAAUGGCUCGUAAGAGAUAACUAAUGGUCUAAAGCCAAAAGCUUACCAAAUAUUGGCAACUCAAAGUCAUUCCAGGUGAUAAACUCACCUUUCAAUGGCCAUUGAAAUUGGUUCUAACGGAUUAAUGCAAAACUUGGAAUUGAAAACCUCACCUUCCAAUAGCUCGUAGGAGAUAACUAAUGGAUAGAAAUCCAAAAGCUUAUCAAGUAUUGGCCGUUGGAAGUUGUCCAAAGGAAAUAAAAACCAAACUUUGCAUUAAUGAACCUUUAAUGAAAAACGUCUACCUUACCUUCCGGGUGCGAGAAAUUUCCAUGGGAUUGCAUCCAAGCCAUCACAUAACAUCCAUACUUUGAGAAACUAAAAGUUUUAGCCAAUCAUCCUCUGAGGAAAAGCCCUCAGAGGCUGUUUGGCUUCCAAGAAAAUAAAAUAGUAAAGAGAAAAGAGAGACGAGACGAGAGAGCUCUGUAUAUAUUCUAAGUGUAAAACGUAACCUAUGUUCUAUAUAUUCCAAGAGGUGAUUUCCACCCCUUAUAUAGUCUUUACAAAAGCAAAAGCUUGUGAUUGGUUAGUUACAAGGAUAAGAAAGGAAAUUAAAUUAGAAAAUACAAAGGAAAAUAUCUAAAGUGGAGUCGGCAAAAGCAGAGGAAAAUUCGCAACACGCAUGGGUUAUGCGAAUUUUGAAGGUGUUAUGCGAAAUUUUCGCAUAACUUGGAGCAGUUGGCUUCCGAAGGCCAUAUCUUCCUCAUUUCAACUCCAAAUCAUGCAUGGUUUGAAGCGUUGGAUUCUUGACUUCCAGAGAUUUGAAAUGGUAUACAGUAUGUAAAAAAUGGACUUCGGGAAGUGCUCCAAAAGUUCUAAAGAAGACUACAGCUGCUGUCCUCUUUGCUUCUCUUCACUUUGCUUGCUUUUCCUCUUUUCCAUUGUUCUUUCCUUGCAUACUUUGAACGACUUUGGCAAAGGGCUAUGGAGCUCCAAAGCUUGGUUCUUCAUGAAUUUGAGCUUCCAAAAUCUUUGCCAUAACUUGUCCAAGUAGCUCCUCCAUCAUUUGGCAUGCUUGAAUUGAUUCAUAAGCUGAUAAAAACAUGUAAACUUGCCACAAAAUGGUUAAAACCAAUUACUAAGGACCUUAAUGGAUUAAUUGGGUUAAAUGAAUAUGAUUACUACUCAAAGGUGCUUAAAACCAUUAUAAUUAGGUCUACAAAAUAGCACUUUUUGGUAGUAAUCACAGGUAUUGAGGACCUUUAUAGGCCACUUACCCCUCAGGUAUCACCCUAGCUCAAGGUAGAACAAGGUCGAAUUUCCCAAACAUUUUUUUUUCUUUUUUCAUUUAUCUGUUUUUUUUUUUUCAAAACUGAGUUUAGCUUAUGUAAAGAGCAAGAUACCGAUGACUCCUAACCAGUUGGUUUCGGGCACUAGGGUUUGAAGACAGAAGGCCAUUACCCCCUCAGAUAAUUGCUCAAGCUUAAAUCAGUCAUUUUCAAUUUUUUUUUUCAUUUCCUCAUUUUAUUGCUUAAGAACAACUCUUUUUAAGCUAAAGAAAUUAUCUUAAUCAAGAUACCAUAAGGGUACACGUGCUUUGUGUGUGCUUUGAGUCUUAAAUAGAAAAUAACCAUCAAAGAAAAAUUGAAGGUAUUAUAAGGAUUCAACCUAACUAUUUUUGCACUUAAAGAUAUAUAAAGAUAAGGUAAGUGAACUAAUACUCUUUCUCUAACUGCAUUUUUUCUCAAAUUCUAAAGAAAUAAUACUACUUAAAGCAUUCUCAUGCCAAAUAAACCAUGAGUUACCAAGGCAAAUCAAGAAUCUCAUUAGCUAACCAAAGAUGACAUGCAAACUUUUGAAAAAAAUUAGGGCUAAUAGGCUAAGAGGCCUUCCCCCCUCAAUCUAAAUUACACAUUGUCCCCAAUGUGUAGGAUAAUGGGUCAAAAGAAAGGAAAAAUGAAUAUGUUAGCUCAAGAUCAUCAAGUGAGAAGUUUGUUAUGAGGACUUCAUAUAAACUGUAGGAGCUUUGUCACCUUGAACACAUGUGAGGCUUACCUUUUCACUCCCUUGAAGUUCGCAUUUACCUAUAUCACUCGGAUGUUUGCAAGCUAAGUUGCUACAACUCAUAAACUCAUUAGUAAGUUAAAAACAACUAAAAAUAAAUAAAAAAUAAAAAAUAAAAUAAAAAAUGCUAACCAUAUUGCUAAUGACUAAUUGAAAAUGCAAAACUAAAUAAAGAAAAAUAAAUAAAUAAAAUAAAACAAAAUAAAAGUUUUACCUACUGGAUUUUCAGAAAAUGCUUCAACAUUUUUUAACAUCCCCAUCAAGAAAAUGGAGAUUCUCCUCUUGUGUCUCAAAUCUUUUAAUGAAAUGCUUUAGGCGCUGACCAUUAACUUUGAAUUCAUUACCUGUCCUCGGAUUUUGAAUGGUCACGGUGCCAUAAGGGAAGACUUCCUUUACCACAUAAGGGCCAUUCCACCUUGACCUAAGCUUUCCUGGAAAAAUGUGAAGCUUGGAGUCGUACAACAACACCUUUUCACCUUGCUUGAACUCCCUUCGUAAAAUAAGCUUGUCAUGGUAGAAUUUGUGUUUUUCCCUUGCAUUAUGUAGGCAUUUAUAACUCUCAUUUCGAUAUGCCUCAAGUUAACUCAAAUCAUAUUUCCUUUUAGCUCCAGCUUGAUCCGAAUCAAAGUUCAUCUUCUUUAUAGCCCAAUAUGCAUGAUGUUCGAGUUCUACAGGCAAAUGACAUGCUUUACCAUAAACAAUUCGGUACGGUGACAUGCCAAGGACAGUCUUAUAGGCUAUCCUAUAUGCCCAAAGUGCAUCACUCAACUUGGUAGACCAAUCUUUUCUUAUAGUAUUGACUACUUUGGUGAGGAUUCUCUUAAUUUCCCGAUUUGCUAGCUCAACUUGCCCAUUCGUUUGAGGGUGAUAUGGGGUGGACACUUUAUGCCUCACUCCAUAUUUCUACAAAAGAAUGGAAAAGGGAUUAUUACAAAAGUGUGAACCUCCAUCACUAAUGAUUGCUCUCGGAAUGCCAAACCUAGAGAAAAUAUUUUCCUUUAAAAAUUUGAGCACCACUUUGUGAUCAUUGCUCUUGCAUGCCACUGCUUCUACCCAUUUAGAGACAUAAUCCACUCCCACCAAAAUAUAUAGAUUACCAAAAGAAGGAGGGAAUGGUCCCAUAAAGUCCAGGCCCCAACAAUCAAAGACCUCAACAACACAAAUAUGAUUUUGAGGCAUUUGAUACCUUGUGUUGAUUUUCCCCAGUUGUUGACAUUGUGGACAACUUUUGCAGUGAGUGUUACAAUCCUUGAACAUAGUUGGCCAAUAGAAUCCACUCUAUAGAAUUUUUGCUGAAGUCUUCCUUGAAGCAAAAUAACCUCCACAAGCUCUUUCAUGACACAUUCGCAAUAUGUCUUGUUGUUCAUCCUCUGGAACACAUCUCCGCAUAAUUUGAUAUGGGAAAAACUUAUACAAAUACGGAUCAUCCCAAGCAUUGUGUUUUGCCCGUGAAAGAAAAUACUUCUUUUUUCCAUGUUCCAUUCUGAUGGAAGCUCUCCGGUUGCCAAGUAAUUGACUAUAUUUGCGAACCAAAGCAACUUCUCCACUGCACAAAGUGCAUCAUCAGGAAACUCAUCAUUAAUUUGUGCUUCCUCGAAAUGUGACUCUACUUUAACUCUAGAAAGAUGAUCAGCAACCACAUUCUCUACCUCUUGCUUAUCCUUGAUUUGAAUGUUAAAUUCUUGAAGGAGAAGGAUCCACCUGAUAAGUCUUGCUUUGGCAUCCUUUUUGUUGAGUAGAUAUUUCAAGGCUGAAUGAUCAGUAAAAAUUACUAUUGAAGUUCCCAAAAGGUAGUUCCUGAAUUUAUCAAGAGCGAACACCACUGCAAGGAGCUCCUUUUCGGUAGUUGUGUAGUUCUUCUAAGCAUCAUUGAGGGUUUUACUAGCAUAGUACACCACAUAUGGUUUUCCAUCCUCCCUUUGACCUAGUACAGCUCCCACUGCAUAGUCACUAGCAUCGCACAUCAACUCAAAUGGGAGAGACCAAUUGGGAGAUCUUACAAUUGGUGCAGUAGUGAGGAGUGACUUUAGUCUCUUGAAAGCUUCUUGGCAUGCUUUAGUCCAUAUGAAUUCUGCAUCCUUAAGUAGUAAAGCACAAAGAGGUUGAACGAUUUUUGAGAAGUCUUGUAUGAACCUUCUAUAAAAACCUGCAUGUCCCAAAAAUUAUCUUACCUUUUUAACAGUAGUAGGCGAAGGUAGCUUUGAGAUGAGCUCAAUUUUUGCUGGAUCUACCUGAAUGCCCUAUUUAGAGAUGAUAUGACCAAGUACUACCCCUGAGGUUGCCAUGAAGUGACACUUCUCCCAAUUUAGAACCAAAUCCUUCUCAAUGCACCUUUUCAAAACUUUUUUCAAAUUUAAGAGACAAUCAUCAAAGGUCUUCCCAUAAACAGUUAGAUCAUCCAUGAAAACUUCCAUGAUUAUCUCUACCAUGUCACUGAAAAUACUAAGCAUACACCUUUGAAAUGUGGCCGGUGCAUUACAAAGACCAAAAGACAUGCGCCUAUAAGCAUAAGUGCCAAAUGGGCAUGUGAAUGUGGUUUUCUCCUGAUCCUCCAAUGCAAUGGCAAUUUGAAAAUAGCCUGAAUAGCCAUCCAAGAAGCAAUAAUAGUCAUGACCAACUACCCUCUCCAAAACCUGAUCUAAGAAAGGUAAUGGAAAAUGAUCUUUCUUGGUGACUGCAUUCAACUUUCUAAAAUCAAUGCAUACUCGCCAACCUGUAGUCAACCUUGUAGGAAUGAGCUCUCCUUCAUCAUUGUUCAUCACAGUUAUCCCGCUUUUCUUAGGUACUACUUGAGUGGGGCUCACCCAACUACUGUCAGAGAUAGGAUAAAUAAUACCUGCAUCUAAAAGCUUCAAUACCUCAUUUCUGACUACAUCUUGCAUAAGGGGAUUUAGCCUUCUUUGUGGCUGCCUUACUAGUUUUGCAUUCUCUUCCAAAUAAAUAUGAUGCGUGCAAAUCAAGAGAUUUAUCCCUUUCAAAUCUGAAAUGGACCAACCAAUCGCUCUUUUAUUCUCUUUAAGCACCUUCAAAAGUUUCAUUUCUUUCUCUUCAGUUAAUGUAGCUGAAAUUACCACAGGUUUUUCUUCAUUUUUUUCUAAAUAAACAUACUUUAAACCAUGUGGCAGGGGCUUUAACUCUGGUUUGCUGAUCUCAACCUCUUCCUUUUUGCUUUCUUCAUCAUUCUCAACACUAUUCAAAGAUUGAAUCGUAUAUUUUUCUUUCCAUUCUGUAGCAACUUGAACACAUUCUUCCUUAACGAUUGUAGAGAAAAAUUCAUCUAUAUUUUCUUCUAUUAACUUUUCUGUGUGUUCUUGCAUUAAAGCCUCUAUAAGGCAUGCUUUCUCAUUUUCCACAUCAUCAUGGUCCAUUGGUUGCUUGCAUAAAUUUAAGACAUUCAUUUCCAUUGUCAUGUUCCCAAAAGAUAAUUGCAUCAAUCCAUUUCGACAGUUAAUGAGAGCAUUGGUUGUAGCAAGGAAGGGUCUCCCAAGAAUAAUUGGAACAGAAUUCAUACCCUUUUUCAAUGGUUCUGUAUUUAACACCACAAAGUCCACUGGGUAGUAGAACUUUUCAACUUGCACCAAAACACCUUCGACUACUCCUCUAGGUACUUUAAUUGAACGGUUUGCUAAAGAGAGUGUAAUGGUAGUAGCCUUAAGCUCUCCCAAUCCCAAUUGCUUAUAGAUUGAAUAUGGAAGCAAAUUCACACUAGCUCCCAAAUCUAACAAAGCCCUUUCCACGAAUGAAUCUCUAAUCUGGACUGAGAUGGUAGGACAACCUGGAUCUUUGUACUUCACCAUUGCCUUAUUCUCAAUGAUGGCACUGACUUGCUCGGUGAGGAAUGGUUUCUUGCUUAAUUUAAUCAUUCUCUUCACAGUGCAUAAAUCUUUGAGGAACUUUGCAUAAACAAGAACUUGCUUGAUCAUAUCAAGGAGUGGAAUGUUGAUCUUCACUUGCUUCAAAACUUCCAAAAUCUCUAAAGUCUUAUCCCCCACUUUGUAUCUCUGCAUAGCUGAAAGGAAAGGCAAAUGAUUGGAAACACUCAUUUUAUUUUUGCUCACAAUGACUUCCUCAUAUUUUUCAGACACUUUCUCAUUUCUAACAUUUUUCUCCACAGUUGGUUCAUCUCUAGCAGGAAUAUCUUCUUCACUUACACGUAACUUGGGCCCUUUGUAUUCUUUCCCAUUUCUGAGUGUGAUAACGACAUUGCAAUCUUCCUUUUGCACUUUAGAAACUUCAUUUACUCCUCUUGGAUUUUUCUAUGGUUGAGCUAGGAAUUUUCCUUUCUCUUGAGAUAAACUUACAGCAAGUUGGCUCAAAGUGGUUCGAAUAUCUACUAGUUCUUGAGAUGUUUGAGCAUUUAUCCUAUUUUGAUAUUUAUUACGCUUGUCUUGCUUCUAUAUAAACUCUCUCAUCAUGUCUUCCAGGCUUGAGUUAGAUGAUGAGGUUUGAUGUUGCUAUUGAAAAUUAUGAGAUGGCAUACCUUGUGGUUGAAAACCUUGCUGCCCAUUAGUCUGAUUACCCUGAAAUCGGUUUCCUUGCUGUUGAAAUUGGCCAUUGUUACCUCUCCCCUCCAUGAUAGAUUUGGAUGAUUCCUUCAACCCGGAUUAUAAGUGUUGGAAUAUGGAGAAUUGCUAGAAUAUUGCUUGUAUGUCCCUAAGGCAUUGGCUUGCUCCAUAAACAUAUCUUGCACUGCAGGUAGAGUGGGACAAGAUUGCACACCAUGUUCCGUAGACUUACAUAUCAAGCACAAUUGAGUUACCCCAUUGACUAUUUGCACCUCUUGAACUCCCUUAGCUUCCAAAUCAUCCAACUUUCUCAUAACGAUUGCUAAUUUUUCUUGGACAUCUAAACCCUCUGGUAAGGUAUACACUCCACUAGCUCUUACUCUGUUCAUUGUUCUAUCUCUAGAUGGUUCCUUGACGAUUGGUUCAUCCCAACUUCUAGAUACCUUAGCAACAUAAUCAAGGAAUUGAAAUGCUUCAUCGGGGUUUUUAUUCAUGAAAUCUCAUCCACACAUAGUCUCGAGAAGUUGUUUCAUUGGUGGUGCCAUGCCUUCAUAGAAAUACGAAAAUAGCAUCCAGUUGUCAAAUCCGUGAUGGGGGCAAGCUGCAACAAUCUCCCUGAAUCUUUCCCAACAUGCAAAAAAUUUCUCAUCCUCCAUAGCCUUGAAAUUCGAGAUCUCCUUUUUCAAUGCACUGGUUCUAUGUGUUGGAAAGAAUUUCUACAAAAACACUGAUUGUAGAUCACCCCAAUUUCUGAUACUAUAAGGUCUAAGACUAUUUAACCAAGUCUUAGCUUUAUCCUUCAAUGACAAGGGGAACAGCUUCAUGCGAAAGAUCUCCAAAGGAGUGUUGGCUUCUCGAAAAAUUGAAACGAUGUCCUCAAAUUCCUUGAUGUGAGAGUAUGGAUUUUCAUUUUAUGUCCCCCUAAAAAUGGGUAGUUGAGACACCACUUGAGGCCGAAUGGUAACAUGAUUAUGAUUUGGAGGUAGCAUAAAACACGAUGGUGUGCUCAACCUGGGAGGAUUUAGAAGCUCUUUCAUAGUUCUUUGGCCCUGCACAGGUGGUCGUGGCCUAUUGUUAUUACUGUUGAAUUCUUCAGUGUCCUCCAUAUUUGGUUGAGAUUCCUUAGUUGUUCUUUGAAGUCUACCUGAAAGAUCUCUUUCCCAACCAAGCAUAAAAUAGAAGAAAAAUAUGUAUAAAGAUAAAAAAUAAAUAAAAGAACUAAAACAAAGUAAUGCACUAUAUCCUAGUUAUGACGAUUGCCAAUCCCCGGCAGCGGCGCCAUUUUCUUGACCAAAAUUUCUCUAUUGUACCAAAAUACUUAGCCUUUUUACGUAGUAACUCUAGUCAAGAAGAACUAGAGAAAGAGUCACUACAACUUUUGUAGUAUUCCGGGUAUCGUUCUCAAGGACUGGCUUAUGAAAAUUGUCAAUACUAGAAUAAAUGAAUUGUUUUUUGUUAAAUCCUUAAGUGAANNNNNNNNNNNNNNNNNNNNNNNNNNNNNNNNNNNNNNNNNNNNNNNNNNNNNNNNNNNNNNNNNNNNNNNNNNNNNNNNNNNNNNNNNNNNNNNNNNNNUAUGUGAAUAAUGUGAAACUAAGUAAAAGAAGUUAAAUUAAUAAGAAAAAAAUGAAUAUUGAUUUUAAAUUCAAUUGAUUCAAGUUUGGGGUUUUCCACAAUCCAACCUAGGGUAUAGAAAUUAGAGAAAACAAAGGUAUUUUAAGUAAUAUGAUCUUAGGGUUUUGGGAUCCUUUGCCACUCGCGAUCAAGUUGAGUUCUAUAACUCAAAAUUGCAUUCGAAACCUAAUUUUUCCUUUUUAAAACAGAUUCCUAAAACCAUCAAAUGAAUGAGAUUGAUUAUCAAUUUAAGAUUUGGCUUUUUAACCAUUCCUACUCCUUAUAGCUUUGUUUAGGGGCAAAUAAUGGUAGGUAAGAUGAGGAUAACUAAUGAUCAAUAAUUACCAAGAAUCACUAGUAUCAACUAAUAACCUACCGUAUCAUUCCCUAAACGAACUCACAAGGAUAGGAUAAAAAAAUAUGAUAAAUUGUCACUCAACCAAUAAUUAAUCUCAUUGUUAUAAUAAUUUACCCAUUGUCCCUAUAGGUUUCCUAGCCCUUAGGUUUUCAUGCUUCAAGCCCCAAGUUGGCUCUUAGCCUCUCAUGGGGGUGAUGUCACAUUCACAAUCCAUAAUAAGGUAAAAAUCCAUAAUUUGAAUCAAAAGAAACUAAAAACAAUAUAUUCAAUAAAGAAGAAAAAGAAAACAAAUCAAAGUUCUCGUCUUCUUCUUCCUUCAAUGUCCAACUCUCCAGAAAAAAAUCCAAGAUUCCUAAAACCUAGAAUUGAGAGAGUUUAUAUAAUAUCCUCAAUUACCUAACAUGUGGCACACUCUCAUUGGCCACUUAUUACAAAAUAAUUUCCUAAAAAUGAUUAAAAAAUAAUAAAAUGGUGAUUUCUAGUCGUGUGGGGUCCACCUAGGGCAGAUGGAGUGCUUUAGAUGCAAUUCCCGAGGUAAAGGAGGCGGACCAUCAAAGUGGCAGUGGGUGAAUUCGAAAUUGGUGUCAUUUCGAAGUGGAUUUUGAAUUCAUAAGUUGAAUAGAUGCAAUUCCCGGGGUAGAGGAGGUGGAACAUCAAAGUGGCAGUGGGUGAAUUCAAAAUUGGUGUCAUUUCGAAGUGGAUUUCGAAUUCAUAAGUUGAAUUUCGAAAUACUAAGUUGAAUUUCGAAAUCAUUUCGAAAUGACCCUCUAGCUUGGUGCAGUUGUCUUCAAAUGGCCAUAACUUCUUCAUUUCAGCUCUAAUUUGCAAACUGUUUGAAGCGUUGGACUCUUGACUUCUCGAGCUUCGAAACGAUAUAUAGUAUGUAUAUAAUGGACUCCAGAAAGUGCUCCAAAUUUGUCCUCAAAGUCAUAGUAUAUAAUGUCAUCAGAUUUUUGAGUUCUAAAUUUUCAUGCAGCUAAAUCUUGCUUCAUGCCUCAUUUCCCACGCUUUCUUGCCUUCUUUCUUACUCCAUAAUGGUCAUUUAUCAUCUUCCAACCUCAUGAUAUCCUUGUUUUGCCUUUCCUUACAUUCAAUGAGUCUUGACUCACUUAUUUCCUCAUUUAGCCAUUUCUUGAUCUUUCAAAAUCUAAAGUCAUUCAAUUUGCACAAUUUUCUUCCCUUGAACCUGAGAUAAGUCUCCAAAGUACAGAUUAAACUCAUGGUUAGGGCCUUAGCCUUGAUUUAGGUCAAGUUGAGUGAUUUGAAUGUCCUUUGGUGUACAAAUCAUAUCGAAUAUGUGCCAUUAGAGCACAUAUUUUGGCUCCAAUCAGCUACAACCAAUGUUUGAAAUAUCGGUAAAUAUGGAUAUAUUGGUACUUGGAUUUUACGAAUAUAUAAGAAAUAUCGGAGAAAUAUCGAUGAAUAUUUUGAUAAAAAUUAUCUAUGGACAAAAAUUAUUCAAAAUUCAUGGGAAUUCUUUAAAAAACACAAAAAAAUAAAAUAGAAAAUAAAAAAUGAUAAAAUAAGUAAGAAUACACAUGUUAAAGUUAUUUUGUAAGUGUAAUUGACAUAACUACGAUUAAAGAUAAUAUUUAUCAAUUUUUUAUAAAAAAAAAGCUUAAAAAUUCCUUUAAUAUAUUUAUAUUAAUUUAUUUUAAAAUUUUAAAAAUACUUUUAUUAAAACAUGUUUUAUUAUAUUUUAAAUAAAAAAUUAAAUUUAUUUAUAUAAAAUAUUUUAUUCAUAAUUUAUCUUAUCAAAUUAAUUUUAAUUUAUAAAAUAUUAGGACUUCAUUAAUUUUUUUUAUAUUGUUGCAAUUUUUGAGGAAAAUUAUAUUUUUAAUAUUUUAAAAUAAAAACAUUUAAAAAUUAAAUAAAAUUAAAAAGAAAAAAAUUAAGAGUAAAGUGAUAGUAAUUUUUUAAAAUAGGGUCAAUGAGAUAAAUAUGAAAAAUAGUUAAAAAUAAAAGGAUAAUAUAAAUUUAAAAUCAAAGAUAAAUUAAAAAUUAUUAAUUUAAAAAUAAAAAAGGAUAAAAAAAAACUUUUUAAAAAAAGGUGAUUUUUUCAGAUUUCCCUCUGUGAUUCCCUUCAUUCUACUAAAAAAAAGGCCAUGUGUGUGUCACUUCCACGUCUUGAAUUUUCACUGAUUUUUUGCUCCAAAACUGAAAUUUCGCCCAUAUAUUGGCAAUUUUUUUUUACAUUUUUGCGAUUUUUUGAUUGAUCGAUUAUCAAUGGUUGAUUUCGUUUCGACCACACUGAAAAUCGAUUUUUCACCUGUACUUCAAUGAAAAAAAUCUGAUUUUUCAAACCUUGGCUUCAACUAGCAGCUACUUUGAAGUUGAAAUUUUAGUAGAAUGAAGGGAAUCUCAUUUAGCUUUUUAUUUUUUUUUUAUUUUAGCUUUGCAACUAACUACUAGUUUGAAGUUGGAAUUUUAGUACAGAAAGAGAAUGGAACAAAACUUUCCUUAAUGUGCUAACACUUGGUAGUGAUGUUAAUCUUGGACCUAAGAUAGAAAGGACACUCUAUGGAGAUAGUCUCAUCAACAAAUUAUCCUACUUAAUGUAACGGUACACAUAAACACACACACACACACACACACACACACACACACACAUAUAUAUAUAUAUAUAUAUAUAUAUAUAAGUUAUAAUAGGUUAAUUACAAUUGUGAAGGGGAAUCCUAGUGCAAGUCCUUGUUCUUUGAGUUAAUUUAAGUCAAUGAAUUAGAGGAAGGAUUCGUAUCUAGUUUUAAACCAAUGGUGCGGAUAGAGUUUGACUUAUAUUUCAAUAAUCAAUUUAAUAUCGUUUCUUAAGGAAUUGUGUAAGUUUGACUGAUAUUUCAGUCAUCAAUUUAGUAUCAUUUCUUAAGGAAUUGUCUAAGGAGGGUUCAUUUAGCAUGGAUCAUAUCAUACAAGUUAAGUAUACUAUAAUUGUUGUAGUAGAAAAUGCAUAUAUCAAUAAAGAGUGACUAGUAGACUAACCUCAAGGUCAGUCACUCUUUAAUCAUCUAGCUAGUGCUAAGUUAUCAAAGGCAUAAGUGAAACUUUUGGAACUGUAAUGGGCAAAAGUUAUGUAUUAUCCUAUUGUUCUAUCAAUAUAUACAUGCACAAUAGGUACAAAUGGAGGAAAAAGGUUUGGAGCCCAGAAUAUGAGCAAUAAUUAAAGCACUAAUAAAGGAUGCCUAAUUCUUCCCCUCAAGUUGGAAUAUGGAGGUUAUGAAGACUCAACUUGCAAAUGAAGGGAGGAAAAAACAGUAGCUUCCAAAGCCUUGGUAAAUAUAUCAUCCAAUUGUUUCUUAGUAUAAACAUAUGUAGUACAAACUAAACUGGCUCGAAUUUUUUAAUGAAUCCUAUGACAAUACUAGCUUGGUGCGUUCAUGAAAUACUAGAUUUGCAGUAAUAUGGAGAACAACUCUUAUCACAAAACAUGUUGGAAAGGAGCCAUUGAAUUUCACAAGAAGUUAUAGCCAUUGCACGAUAUUUAGCUUCAGUGGAAAAGUAAGAAAUUCUGUGUUGCUUUUUGGAUUUCCAAGAUAUAGGAGAAGAACCCAACAAUAUAUAAUACUUGGUAAUGGAAUGACGGGUUUCUAGACAAGUCACCCAAUCAAAGUCACAAAACGCAUUAAGUUGAAGUGUACUAGAUGGAGAAAAAAGAAUGUCGAUCUCGACUGAGUGAUUGUUCAAUGUGUCAAAGCAAGCGACGAGCAACAUCCAGAUAUGGUUGUUUGGGAUUAGCCAUGAAUUGAUUAAGAAUUUGAACUAAGAAAAUAGUGCCUGGACAACUAAUAGUGAGAUAGAUGAGGCAUCUAAUAAGCCUAUGAUAUAAAAGAAGAUUGGGUAAAAGGUCUCCAUCAGUUGAAGUAAGCGAGAGGUUGGGUUUCGUAGGUGUCUUGGUAGGCCGAGAACCAAGGAAGAUAGUAUCCUCUAAAAUAUCAAGUGCAUAUAUUUGUUGGGAAAAAUAAAUACCAUGUUGGGAGCAUGAAACUUCAAGUCUAAGAAAAUAUUUAAGUGGGCCAAGAUCUUUUAAGGCAAAGCAAUCAUGGAGAUAAUUCUUCAAAGAUGAAAUGACAGAGAUAAUUGGUAUAAACCAAUUGUUGGCAAUGUCAAAUUACUUUAUUUCCUAUCCUGGAUUGAAUAGAUAGUUAUUUGUUUUGAUUUCUAUCUUUCUACCUGUAAUAGGUAUUGAUAUUUACCCAUAUUUUAUUCUCUCAUCAUUAAUUGACAAGGUUGAAGCUAUUCUAUCUAAUUUUUAUUUUAUUAUUAUUUUUUAUAUAUAGAUAGAUUUCAUGAAUAAAAAAAUAAAAAAAAUUAAGCUUUUGGUUUUUAUAAUUGGUUCAUGCCUCUAACCUUAGGCUUCCCUAGAUCUUAUCAAAGCAUAAAAAAUGGCUAUAAAAGCCAAUAAAAUUAAUUAAUCUAGAGAAAAAGUAACUCAUACUUGUGAUUUGGAUGUUUCCAGAUCAAUUCCAAUCUACUGAAGUCGUUGAAAAAGUUAUAGAUCUAGUUUACUUGGUGUUCUUCCCCCUAAUCUCUCCUUACACGAAUCCAAACACGCAAGAGAAGUAUAAAAUACUCUUCCUCCCUAAGAGUGGUUAGAGUUUCUCUUUGAAAGAUAAAAGACAAAAGAUUGAAGUCUUGAUCCCUAAGAGGGUAUUUAUAGAUCAUCCUAUGGGUUUAAGUGACUUGUGCCUAGGUAUUCACAAAAUAACAUUCAAGUGUCCUAAAACACUAAAGCCUUUUGAGUAGGUUGUAAUGUUAUUUGGAUUAAAAAAAUGCUAAAGCUACAUAUCAACAUUCUAUGAAUGUAAUUUUCCAUGAUUUAAUUGGUAAAAUAAUUGAGGUAUAUAUUGAUGAUAUAGUAGUCAGGGUUCCAUAGGUAGUUUUCAGCCCAAGAUAAUAUAGGCAAAAAAAAAAAAAAAAACAUCUGGUCUACUAUUUCAGUCGAUUGAUAACUAAAGUAGGAAAGAAUUAUUCUCCAAUAUGAGUAAUAUAUCUAGCACUACUUUUUUUCCAUAAAGCUCAAACAUUGUAUGUUGCCUACCAUAGUCUAGAUGAUAGCAAAAAUAGAUGUAGUAAAAUACGAUGUUGUCACACCCUAUCCCUCAAAGGUUGAAUGGGAAAAUAAAUAUUAGCCGUCCAUCUUAAAAGAUUGCAUUGAUAUGCAUGAGAUGUCAAACAUGCCAACGAUUGAGAUCUUUACAUCAUUUCUAGGCCUAAAAGAAUUGAGAGAAGCUCAAGCAAUGCAUAUGGAGUUAGAAGAAUUGGGAGAGUCUCGAUUCAAAUCUUUGGAUCAUCUCUAAGCCUAAAAGAGAUAAGUUGCUUGGACCUGUGACGAGGGCAAAAAGAAAAGUUUUUAAUGGUAACCCAUUCAUCUUCAUUUAAAAUUUUGUACCGUUUAUCUUUUCAUUUUUAAGUUUUAAUUUUUUUUAAUAUUUUUCUAAAUUUAAGUUGACUAAUUAAAAGGUGUUUGAUAUUGGCUAAAACCAUAUAAAUAAAACUAUCUCACCAAAAUUUUUAUUUUUGCAAAGACAUAGAUUACGGGCAUUUUCUUAAUGACUUGCACUAGAUUUAAAAUUCUCUCUCACAAUCUGCUAUCGUAGGACUACGUUUACAUUAAAUCCUCCUCCUUCGCCUCCUUGUUGAUUGAGGAUGCUGCCUGUUUAUAUUUACGAUGUUUUGGUUUAUUCUAUUUCUAUAGAGGAACAUUGGAAACAUCUCAACAAGUUUGUCCAGACUAUUAAGAAUACUGGUUUAGGCUUGUCUACCACUAAGAUUAAUUUGUUUUAGACUAAGAUAAGAUUCCUAGGUCAUCAUAUUUACCAAGGAACCAUUACUCCUAUUCAAAGGUCAAUCCAGUUUGUUGAUAAGUUUCCUGAUAAAAUUAAGGAUAAGAAACAAUCGCAACGUUUCUUAGGAAGCCUUAAUUAUGUGUCAAACUUCCUUAAGGACAUAAGCCAAUUAUAUGCCCCUUUAAGACAAAGACUUAAGAAGAAUUCAAGUCCUUGGAAUGAGGAACAUACUAAGAUUGUCAAGACUGUUAAGUCUAGAGUCAUGACCCUGCCAUGUUUAGCCUUAGUUGAUCUUGAAGCCUUUAAGAUUGUUGAGACUGAUGCUUCAAAUAUAGGUUGUGGUGGGAUCCUUAAAUAGAAAUAUGGUAACCAUGAGAGAUUGGUUAGAUAUACUUCAAGGACCUGGAAUAAUACUUAACUCAAAUACAACACCAUCAAAAAAGAAAUUUUAAGCAUUGUUUUAAGUAUUUCAAAAUUUCAAGAUAAUCUUUUGAACCAAGAGUUUUUAUUAAGAGUUGAUUGCAAAUCAACAAAAUUAGUUUUGCAAAAGGAUGUUAAGAAUAUAGCUUCUAAGCAUAUUUUUGUAAGAUUGCAAACCAUUUUAAGUAAUUUUGAUUUUCAAGUUGAGUAUAUUAAAGGAGAAAAUAACUCAAUCCCUGAUUUCUUAACAUGUUGAUUUUGCAAGAUUCACAGGAUCAUAAUCCUUAAAAAGGCUACCUAACUUCCUAAUAGACCACUAGAAUCCUAAUCUUCUAAAAACAGUCAAAACCCUUCUCCUCAUAAAAUGCUUUGGAGUCAACAGAUUGAACUUGAAGAAGAAGAAGCAAGACUUCAUUAUUCCCCUUCUAGCUAUAUGCCUAAUAAGAUAUUGUCCUUGUACUAUGAUCUUUCGGAUCCUCCUAAACCAGUCAAGGCUACGCAAUUUCCUGUAAUUACAAGGUCUUAAACCUUUAAGCAAGUAACUAAAGCUAAUCCCCCUCAGAAGGAAUUAACAUCAAGCUCGACUUUUCCAAAUAAGCAAAUUGUGGUGGCUACCAACCUAACACCUCUUUCUUCAAAAUCACAUUAUUGGAAAAAUGAUCUUAAUAAACCUAUUUUGGUUAUUGAAAGAGAGUUUUUUCAAUGAAAAUCCCAAGGAAAUAGUUGCAAAAGCUUUUCAUGAAAACUUUCAUUAUCCAUCUAGUGAUAUUUUGAAAACAAGAGAUUUUUAUGAAAAUAUCCUUGUGGAUACUGACUUAGUUAAAAUUAAGCAUAAUACAGAUAAGUAUAGCAACUUGGAUUUAAGAUUUUCUAUUUGCCAUAUUUUCAAAAUUCUCACAAUUAAGUAGUGAGGUGGGAACCUUAAUUUUUCAAGGGAAUUCUCUAAGCCUUCAAAACCAAGAUUUUUCAAUUAUUGGGACUACUAGAAAGUCUGGUUUAAUGCUUUUCUUAUCCAAAACAAGGACUUCUAUCAUUCAUGGAUGUUCUAUUUCCCAUCUAAGCAUUAACUCUCUUCUUUUCCAUUUUGGUUUCACAAUUGGUGGACUUAUUUUGGUCCAACUAUUAAGAUUCUCCCAAAACCCAUCUUGGAUGGUUUGGAACUAUUCAAAAGUUCAUUUUUUUUUUAUUCCCAGAGAACUUUUAGCUUUUCCCCAUUUACUAUUCUUUUUUAGCGAAUUUGGCCUUGCUUGGAUAGUCAAGUGAGACUAUAUCAUUAUUGUGGAUGAGUUAGCAGCCUUUCCAACCCUUGGAAGGACUUUUAAGACUAAAUGGUGGGAUGCUUUAAAAAAUGAUGCCUCUGUGCAAGCCUUUAAGCAAUAUUUUCUUAAGCACCCCACACAAACAUCAACCUCUGAAGACAUGUCCCAGUUUACAAUAGCUCCAAGCCAUGAUUGCUACAGCUAAAACCCCUCAGGAAUUUCAUAAAAUCCUUGGCAAAAGUAGCUCAAGUUUUUCUCAAGAUGACUCUUAUGUUGGAUCAAAUGAUUCUAUUUCAAACUACUUUCCGAAUAAUGGCGAUGAUUGGGAGGGCAUUUUUCAUCCCAUUCAGAAAUCAAAAUAAGCAUUUUUCUUCGCCAUUUGAAGACAUUAAGUUAAUUCUGUUUAAGCUUGUUGUUUACCUUGGAAUUUUCCACCUACAACUUUUAAGUCCUUUUAACACCGAAAGUAAGCUUGUUCCCCGCAUGUGAUUCUACAAUUUUGACACCAGACAAAAGCAGUCAGAUAGCUCUUAGUAUUCCACUGAAAAACAAGAUUCAGUUGUCGAAAAGUCAAAAGUGCUACGGUAAAAGUCAAUUUUAUUGUUCACUAUUCACUUCACGGGUGGUUACUAUUCAUAGUUGAAGUCAAAAGUCCACAGUAACCUGUCGUCUGCUUUGUACUAUUUAAGAUUCUUAUUUUCAACUAUUUAAGGAGGCUAGUUCCUCAUUUGUAAACACCAUUCAUUUUCUAUUUCCACCCUGAGCUCUUUUUUCUCUUUUCUUUCUUCCUCAAGAUAUAAGCUUCCCAAGCCAAAGCUUUCCUUAAAGUUUUCCUAUCAUUUCCAUUGUAAGAUAUUGUUUCUCCUUAUAAGUAUGUUUUUCAAGUUAUGUAAUAUAAAGUUUCAUGUUUUUCAUUGCAUAUUACCUCGUCCUUAUAUAAACACAUAAUUUUUAAUACAAAUAUAUUAAUAUAAGAACACAAAGAUAAAGUAGUAUAAAGUUACACAAGGUUUUAAUAUGGUUCGACCAAUUAUAUUUAUAUUUAUGAAAGAAAAAGACCAUUCUACUAUAUUAUAAUAGAUAUGAUAGAAGAAAAAGAAACUAUAUACAACUACUAAGCCCUGAAACAUCUUAUAUUUCCUUACUCAUUGUAUUUACUCCUAACCUUCAGUUCUUCGCUCCAUCGAGCAUAUCUCACUCUUCUAUCUCAUGACCUUUUCUCUCAUGUCUUUUUUGCUUUAUCAUUUGAUCCAUUUUUUCAUUGUUAUUUUUAAAUAUCUAGAAUAUAUUUAUUUUAUUAUAUUUGCUCAAUUAAGAAUGACCUUAUAGACUUAAAAAACCUUUUGUAUUAAAGUAAAGCAACAUUAAGUAAUGACUGGUUCUAUUCAUUUUCAAUUAUUUGUUCAUUUUCACAACUUCGAUGAUCAUAAAAGCAAAAUAUUUUUGAAUAUAUAAUUCUUUAAUAUCAAAGAAAUUACAUAUAAAAAUUCCGAUCCAUUCUUAAAUAUUUUAUAAAAAAUAUCACUCAUCCAUUGUGAUCAAUAUAUAUAUAUAUAUAUAUAUAUAUAUAUAUAUAUCUCAUGAAUGUUGUGCUGGAAAAAGCUUUAAUACAAAUAUGUUAAUGAAAAAACACAAAGAUAAAAUAGGUCAUCCAUAUAACUAUAUGACAAUUUAACGUGGCUUAACCAACCAUGCCUACAUCCACAGAUGAGAAAGAUCUUUCCAUUAUAGUAUAAAGAAUAUUAUAACAAAAGAUAAAAACUAGAUACAACUACUGGAUUCUCAAACAUCCCAUGUCUCUUAUUCCUUGUAUCCCCUAAACCGUAAGCUCUUUCCCUUUAUCAAGUGUCUCUCACUUUUCCUCGCAUCUCUAUAUACGUAUAUAGUCUUCAUAAGCCCAUAUUCAAUUCAUGAUCUUUUGUCCUUGAACCUGUUUUUAUAUAUAGAAAAACACUAAUUUUGAAGUGCUAAUCACACCCCUCAAUCUAAACAUUGCUAGUCCCUAGCAACAGAAAAGAUAAAAAUAAAGGUAACAUGCAAUCCUCAAAAAGUUUUUAUCACCCUUACAUAAUCACCUUUCUUGAGUGCAUUUUUAUAAAGUUAGGUCUUCCUUGAGUCUAAAAUAAUAAUUGUUGAUGUGCAUUGGUUUACCAAGUUAUAAAAAUCAUGCAAAAGAUGUUUAAAAAAUUCCUUAGUCCUCCUAAGGUUCCUAUCACUCAUUCCAUACUAGACAUAGUAUAAAUUUGUUCAUCUCUUAGCUGUGACUUUAGGAGAAUAACUCCCCUCAACCUAGGUAAGACAAUACUCCUCCUCGAUUGAUUUUGGAGAACACCUUUCUUUACACUUUAUUGCUCUUAUUUUUUUCCCUAGAUUGCAUACAAAACCUUUCAUUUUGAUUCUCCUUUGGGUUCAAAACAUGCAUACAUUUCUUUUUUGUCUUUUACUAGCAUGAAACUCACUUCCAUGUGGCUAAUGAGGAUUCACUAGCAACUCCUAAGUUUACACCUAAGAUAAUAAGUUUGGAGGACCAUUGAAGAUCACUAAUCCCUCAAGCUUUACCUUUAGUUCUUUAGAACAAGUUCAAAAUUUCCAACUUUGAAGAAUUUUUUUUGGUGUUACAAAUCAAUAUAUCACUCUACGCACACGUAUACCUUGGCUUAUGAAAGAUUUUCUCUUAAAAACAUAACUAAGGUAUGAUGUGUUGGUGUGUGUAAGUCAUGUAAAGAAUUAAGUACUAGAAUGUCUUUGGAUUUCUCAAGGAAAAAUAACUAACUAUUCUUGCAUUUUGCCCAUAUCAAGUUAAAUUGAAUUAUAUCAACUUUGAAUUAUGACAACUUAAAGAAUUCCAAAAUAAUAAUAAUAAUAAUAAUAAUAAAAUCAGCACUUUUAGCAUGAACAAAAUAAUCCCCCACCCCUCAACCUACUUAACACAAUGUCCCCAUUAUGUGCAAAUGUGAAAGCAAGGGGAUAAAGAUGCUUACAAUGUUGAUGCACUUCUCAUUUCAAUUUGAUGGUCAUGGUUGCAAUUGCAUUUUGAUCAUCUAUAUUUUCAAGAUAACUCCAUUCAUAGUUAGGCUCAUUUAUUGAAAAUAAAAACAUAACUCCUAGGAAAUAAAAAGAAAAUAAAUGAAAAACUAAAAGAAACUAAGUACUAUAACCUACUAGACUAAGGAAAAUGUAUUUCCAUUAGGAAUCUCGCCAUCAAUAGGAUGGAAAAUUUCCUCUAGUGGCAUUCAUCUCUCUCUAAGGAACUUUAGGUAAUGAUUUUUCACCUUAACUUUACUCUUGUUCUUCUCCAACUUUCAUUGAGUUCUUCUAACAAAACUUCUAGAUCAAACUUCCCAUUCAUCUUAUGUGUUUACAAUACCUUAAGAAUAUUCAAAUACUUCAUUUCUUGAUCCGCAUGAAAUAAAUAUGAAAUCAUCAUUGGUUGGUCUUUAUUCCUACCAAGAAAAAUAUAUUUCAAUCCCUAUGGUGGUGGUUUCAAAUUAGGUUUCUUUUCCGAAAACAAUUUUGGUUUAUCUUGCAUCUUGUCUCUUGUUUUUAUGUCGCCAACAACUAGCUCAACCUUCUUUUUCCGGCAAGUGUUUUUCUGCAACAUAUCCUCAUUUUUAGCAACAAAUGCCUAAGCUUCUUCCUUAGGAAAGUCAACUAGUAGUUUCUCUAAGUGCUUAUCCAUGAGCAAAUUAACAUGUUCUUGAACUAAUGUGUCAAUCAAGCAUACUUCUUCAGAUUCAAACUCUUCAUGAUCAACCAGUUACUUGUAGAGGUGAAACACAUUCAGCUCCAAGGUCAUGUUCCCAAAUGAUAAGCACAUUUCAACAAUUGAUGAUUGCAUUGGCAAUGGCAUCUUAAGAUAAUUAGAAUUGAAUUUACCUUUUUCCUUAUAGGUUCACUCUCCAAAACCAUGAAAUCUAUUAGAUAGUAGAAUUUGUCUAGUUACAUUAACACAUCUUCUACCACUCUUCUAGGCACUUUAAUCGAUCUAUUAGCUAGGGACAAAGUGAUAGAUGUGGACUUCAAUUCUUCCAAUCCCAAUUGUUGAUAAAUUAAGGUAAUAGGUUCACACUUGCUCUCAAGUUAAACAAUGUUUUCUCCACAUAUGAUUCUUCAACUUGCACUAAGAUGGUGGGGUAGCCAGAGUCUUUAUACUUCACCAUAGACUUGUUCUCUAUUAUAGAACUCACUUGCUUUGUUAGGAAGACUUUCUUAUUGACUUUGAUUUUUCUUUUAACUGUGCAUAAGUCCUUAAAAAUUUUUGAAUAGGUCGACACUUGUUUGAUUAUGUCCAAGAAGGGUGUAUCCAACUUGACUUGCUUCAAUACUUCAAUAAUAUCAUAACUUUGCUUAUUGAUAUUAGGUUUUUUAAAUGCUAAAGGGAAAGGUAGGUGAUUCUUGAUUGCAUCUUCUCCCUUAUUUUUCUACUCAUUUUAUUUUCUCUCACACAAUUCAUCCUUUAAAAUAGGUGGGUUGACAUGUUGAACAAUCGGUUGAGAAGUUUUGACAUGUUUUUUUUGCUUUGGUGCUUCUAACUCCCUUCCCACUUCUCAACAUAAUUAUAGUUUUCACCUCUUCAUUUUCCCCAAAAUUUGUUGCUUCACAAGCAUUCCUUGGAUUUUGUUGGGAUUGGGCUGAAAAUGUCAUUUCUAUGGAGACAUACUUAUAGUGAUUUGAUUAAGAGUGACUUGAAUGUUGAAGAUUGCUUGUGAUGUUUGGGCAUUGAUUUUCCUCAAAUUUCAUUUAGUUUCGAUCUUUUUGUGGUCCUCAUUGAAUUGCCAUUGUUCAGCAGUAAAUUGAAUUUAUUAAUGAUACAUUUGUUGGAGAAAAUUCCUAAUACUCAAAAUAGUUGAAGUUAAUUGAGGUUGUUGCACAAAUCCUUGACUUCCUCUUAGAUAUGAAGUACUCAUAAAUGAGGGUUCAUUGGGGUUGGUUUAAAGAGUGCAUGACUGCUGCCCUUAUCCUUGAAUGUUGUUGAAUCAGUUUCUCACUGUAGAAACUAAUUUGUGUGUUGAGUUGAAGUUGUUCCUUGAAUUGAUUAUUCCCUCUCUAAGAUAGGUUUUAAUGGUUCUUCCAACCUAGAUCGUACAUGUUAUAAGGGGAAUUGUUGGAACCCUGCUUGAAGGCACCAAUUGCAUUGGCUUGCUUUGAGAACAUCUCACUCACUAUUAGGAGUGUUGGGCAAUUCAAAACUUCAUGCUUCGUGAACUUGUAGAUCAAGCAAUGUAUUUCUUCACUUAGCUACUUCCCUUUUGUGAAUUCCAUUGACUUCUAAUUACCUAAAUCUUCUUAAUAGAGAAGUCAUCUUUGCUUGGACGUCGAAUGCUUUAGGAAUUGAAUAGAUACCACCGGUUUUUGCUUUUCAUAGAGCUUUUGUCCUUGAUGACAUCUUUGCUCAAUGAAUCUUCCCAACUCCUUAAUACUCUAGCCACAUAAUCUAAGAAUUGAAGGGUUUCUUUUGGACUUUUGCUCAUAAAGUCACUUUUUCACAUUGCUUCCACUAGUUGUUUCAUUUGGAGAGACAUUCCUUUCUAGAAAUAACUUACCAACAUCCAGGUCUCAAAUCCAUGAUGUGGGUAGGCACCAAGCAUCUUGUUGAAUAUCUCCUAGCAUACAAAUAAUCUAAGGUUAUGAAAUUAGAAGUCUCACUCUUCAAUGCAUUGGUUUUGUGUGAAGAUAAAAUUUUUUAUAGGAACAUCAAUUGUAGAUUCGUCCAACUUUUGAUACUUUGUGGUCUAAGAGUGUUAAACCAAAUCUUUGCCUUGUCAUUUCAUGUCAAAGGGAAAACCUUCAUUCUCAUUGCCUCAAUAGGCACAUUUACUUCUUGGAAUGUGAAACAAAUUUUCCUCACUUCCUUAAUGUGAGAUUAAGGAUUCUCCUCUUUAUUCACCCUUAAAAUAGGUAACAUUGACACUAGUUGUGGUUUGAUUGAGAUAUGUUCUUAAGGGGCAUUGAAGCAUAAGAGUUUGUUGACCCUAAGAGGGUUAAAAUGAUCUUUCAUCUAUCUAUAGGCUUGGAAAAGCUUAACUUGUUAAUUAUUGUUGCUUCAAUUCAUUGGGUCAUCCAUACUUGCUUGAAUGGCUAAAUUUGUUUUUGAAGUCUAUCUAAAAUAUCCCUUUUCCAAACAAGUGUAAAAAGCAAGAAGAAGACAAUAAAAAUAAAAGCACUAAAAGUAAAAAACUAGAAAUAAAUAAAAUUCCUAUUAUUAAAGAAAACCAACUAUUUAAAAAAAAAAAACUAAAAACUAAUCAGUACUUAAUUGACUUAGAUAAAACUUGUAAUCAAUUCCCCAACAAUGACAUCAUUUUCUUGACUGAUAAUAUCUAUUGCAAAUAAAAUACUAAAACAUAAAUACAUAAUAAAACUAAUCAAGAAAAAUAAGGGAUAAAGUUAUCACAACUUGUAGUAUUUCAAGUUAUCAUUCUUAGGGAAUACUUUUUUUAAACUAAUUUUAUCUAAAAAUAGUGAUUUUUAUGAAAAAAAAAAUGAUUAGAUUGAAAUUAUGAUUUGAUGGAUAAAUUAAGAAAACCGUGAUAAACAAAUCUAGAGAUUUUCACAAAUCCAAUCUUAGACCUAUGAUUGAGGGAUGAUAAAUACUAAUUAAAGGAUUUUUUUUGUCUUCGUAGAUUGGACCAAAAUAUAGGUUAUCCAAGUUUGGAACCAUGUUUUAAAACUUAAAAUCCAUUCUUUAAUAGUCAUCCAACAACUAAUUUGAUAAAUUGUUUCAUCCUUUAAGAUAUUUAAAACCUAAUGUUCAUUUGGUAGAUUUUCUUUGGUCAUCAAUCACAUAUGAUCAUACUAGGUCAGCUAUUGAUCUUAAUCCCUUAUGCAUCAAAGGAACCCUAGCAUGUAUCCUAUGUACAUCUAAUAGGGAUGAACUAGCAAAUAAUUAAACUUUCAUACAAAAUUUAAAGAUUAGAAACUUACUAACUUGGAAAGAUAUCACCUUUUCUUAUCAUCCCUUUCUCCUAGAUCAUUCGUGAUUUAUUAUUGCAUCUCCAAAGAAAGGAUUAGCUCAGAUUAAUGUCAUAUAUUGAAUUAAAUUAAAUCAUGAGAGAUUUUAUUGAAAACUAAAUGAUUAUAAAAGUUGUAUCCAAACUCAAAAGUUUCUUUCUUUUUUUGUUGCUUUCUCUGUUCAUAAAGAAAUUUAUGGUAUUUAUUAAAAGCCUAACCCUAAAAACAUAAAUAAAAGUGCUAAAACGUCCAAAGACAUGCAAAAAAAUCCAAAUGGGGAAAGUCUCGAAGGGAAAUUCUGGAAGUUAAAGUUUGUAUCAGAAAUUUCGAUACCUCCGUAGUGGUGUCAAAAUGCAUUUUGAUAAAUGUCUAAACCUUAUAGACCUCUGGCAUGCUUCUAAUGUGGUAUUGGGUUGAUUAUGACAUGUAUCAUAAUGUAUCUUUUUGUAUUAUGAUGUAUCGAAAUAUUGCAUCUUAUAUCAAAAUUGUAUCAUAAUGUAUCUUUUUGUGUCUUAAUGUAUCAAAAUGUUUCACUUUGUAUUGAAAUUAUAUCUCCAUGUAUCGAAAUUCAUUUUGAUAAACCCUGAAUUUUUUUGUAUCUUUAGAAUGCUUUUGUAGGAAAAUUUGGAUACCUCCACUAUAUUGAAAUGUUUAUCAAAAUUCAUCUUUCAUUUUGAAAUGCAUUUUGAUAAACUCCUAAACUCACUGGAUCUUUGAGAGGUUGAGAUUGGUGAUUUUCAAUACCUUAUUGUGGCAUCAAAAUCAAUAUUAAAAUGCAUUUCUUGUAUCAAAAUGGUGUCCUUGCAUCAAACUGUGUAUCGACUGACAUCAAAAUGUAUUCCAAUAACACCCCAAACUUAUUGUGUUCGGAUUGACUCUGCUCCCUUGUAUUGAAGUUGUUAGGACAAUGAGUCUUUAAUGUAUUUUGACAAUUUUGUUUCAUUCUAUUUUUGGCCUAAGAAUCUUUUUAGAUAGUGACUUAUUCUUCAUUGAAGAUCCAAGGUUGUUGUUCAUCCAAUUGAAAAGUCAUAGGUAUGUCAAAGAAGGUUUGACUUGUGACAAGUUAGGUAAUCAAAGGGAAUAAAGUGAAUAAAUAUAUAUAUUUUAAAAAAAAUUAAAAAAGUUUGUUAAAGGACAAUUAUUUUUUUAUUUUUUUUAAAAUAAGAUAUGAUUGAAUUAGAAGUUUUAAAAUUGAGCUAAAAUCUCUUAAUUAUUUUUUGACAACUUUGGGAUUUUGUUUUUAAUAAAAUUAUUUUCUCAAUUAAUUUUAAGAAAGUUGAUAUUUUGUUUUUAAGAAAAUUCUUUUCUUAAUUAAUUUUUAGAAAGUUGAUAUUUUUUUAGUUGAUCUUUAGAAAGUAGAUAUUUUAUUCCGUUUCCAACCAUUUUGGGUUUGGGCAUUGUCGAGAGAGACUCAACUUAACUUGCCCUACCAUUCCCAAUCUCUCAACAAAGAUUCAAAGAUUGAAUCUUGGGUUGUUGGAAGAUUUUCAUUCCCUUAACGAGUCUAAGGAGUAUUCAUUCGAGUAAUUGGAGAUUGUUACGUCGCAAAUGUGGAUCAAGUUGUAAGUAUUGAAGAAUAAGUCUUUAGGGUAAAACAAUAAGAUAUAUAAAUCUAGGUAACUUGAUCUUAUAUAAUGGAUUUACAUUAGAGGUUUUAAACCUUAUGAUUUUUUAUUUUUUAUUUAUUUAUUUUAUCUCCAUAGUUAGUGUGUGAGUUUUCCACAUGAAAAUUAUUGUUUUCUUUGCAUGUUUGUUUACUUUUUUUAUUAUUUUGGAUAUUUUGUUAAUCCUUGAUAUCUUGCUGGUUUAAUUAGGUUAAAAACUCUACUCCCUAUUUAAAUUGUGUUAUUAAUUCUUAAUCCUUAUAUUAUAAUUUUUAAUUACACUCAUUCAUCCCCUAUGUUACCCUAUUGGACCACGGCUUUUUAGAAAGUGAUGUUGAAAUCCACUCUUACAUAUCAAAAUUCCUCUUUUUCGUUGCAUUCCUCACUAGAUGUAAACAUUGAUCCUCAAUUUGAGGCUUAGCAAAUAUUUAAGUUACAAUGAUAUGCACUCAAAAGUUAUUUAAAAGCCUAUUUCUAUAUAUGGAAAAACAUCAGUUUUGAAUGCUAAUCAAGUACUGCAUAUGGGAUUGUAACUGCAUUUUAGUUGUCGUCAUUGUCAAGCAAGGUUUUAAGUUGAAGUUUUUGAAGGGUGCAUCACGUGGGCUUGCUGGUUCAGAUAUCACCCGCAUUUUCAAGACUUGAAUUUGACCUCACAGUGUACUCUGCUACAAGCUUGGCGAAAGAUGACGACUUGUUCUCUAGCAAUCUGGUUGGGGUAUCGUAUUCCUCAAUUAUCCCUACAUCAUCGACAUUUCCAGGGAAAUAAAUCAAGAAGAAUGCAGAUGAAGUUAAGAGUGCCAUUAGUUCAUGUUGAUAGUACUAACCAUGAUCCAGAAGUAGAACCAUGUCACUAUCAAGAACAGAAGUAGUUCGAUGUGCAAUAGUUAUGACUGUAGAAUCGACAAAGUGUUGUCUAAGGGUUUGCUGAAUCUGAUUAUCUGUGGCUGUAUCAACUGAUGCAGUAGCUUCAUCAAGCACCAAGACCUUGCUUUUCUUGAGUAGAAGUCGGCCAAGACAAACCAGUUGCCUCUGACCCAUGCUCCAAUUCUCUCCAUUCUCAAUAACUGCCAAAUGCAUACUAACAUUAGGAGACUUAUAUGAGGUUUCUAUUUAGAUUUUAUGUUAGCAUGGCGGGAGAAAUAACCUACAGAAUCUAGCUUUCCUUCUUUCUUCCUGACUUCAUCUCCAAGCUGGCACUUAUCCAGAGCCUGAACCAAUAAGUUAGUUAACAACAUUGCACUUCUACAGUACUAAGAAAUUUAGCGAAGGAAACUAUAUUUCUACUAUAUUAAGAAAACAUAGUAGAGGAAAACUGCAUGUCUACCAUACUUAAGUAUAUCAAUAGAAUAAACAAAACCUACCUCCCAAGUCUGCCCAUCUGAGUACUCUUCAAGUGGGUCAAGGUUGCUCCGUACAGUCCCGUCAAACAUGGUUGGAUCCUGAGGGAUAAUGCUUAGUCUGGACCGCAAAUUUUGUAGUCCAAUGGAAGAGAUGUUGGUACCAUCUAUCAUAAUCUGACCAGCGGCAGGUUCAACAAUUCGAAAGAGGGUCUGUAUGAGGGUUGAUUUACCGCUGCCAAUUCGCCCUACAAUGCCAGUCUUCAUUCCUCCCGGGAAAGUGCAUGUGAGACCUCUCAAUACAAGUGGCAUGUGUGGGGCAUAGCGGACCUACAUCCACACUCACCGUCAUGAAACACAUGGAAAUUCCUUUGACCAGAGGAAGCCAUGAAUAACCCCGUGUCGUAUAUAUUGUUGGUAUGAGAUAAAAUCAUAUAUUUUAUUCUAUCUUCAAUUCAUUAGAGUACAGGUGUAUAUAUAGACAAAACGGAAAAAGCUAUACAUGGACUACAUGGAUUACAACUACAAUUGCUGACCUAUAAUUGACCCUAUAAAUGAGGGAUUGCAGUGACUGAUUUUUCUCCUAUGAUAUCCAUAAUUUUCUCCUUUAAUUGUUCAGAGAACAGCUCACGCCAACACUCCCCCUCAAGUUGGUACGUAAAUAUCAAUAAGUCCCAACUUGUCUAGUGAGUGAUGGAAUAUUUUACUGCUCACAGCUUUUGUAAGAAUAUCGGCCAGUUGGUCUUCAGAUUGCACAAAAGGGAAUCAGAUAAUCUUUGCAUCAAGAUUUUGUUUAAUAAAGUGUCGAUCUACUUCUACAUGCUUAGUCCGAUCAUGCUGAAUGGGAUUAUGGGAGAUGUCAAUUGCUACUUUAUUAUCACAAAACAACUUCAUCUCGGAGUCAAGGGCAAAACCAAUCUCCGUUAGAAGUCUCCUAAGCCACAAUAACUCACAUAGCCCUUUAGUCAUUCCACGAAACUCAACUUCCGCACUGGAUAGAGCGACCACCUUCUGUUUUUUGCUUCUCCAAGUAACCAAGUUUCCUCCAACAAAAGUGAAGUAGCCUGAGGUGGAUUUCCUAUCCAUGAUGUCCCCUACCCAAUCUACGUCUGUAUAUCCUUCUACUCUUAGGUGAUCAUUUUUUGAGAACAUAAGUCCCUUUCCAGGGAACGACUUCAAAUAUCUUAAAAUCUGCAUAACGACACUGAUAUGAUCUUCACUUGGACAAUGCAUAAACUGGCUUACCACACUUACUGCAUAAGCAAUAUCAGGUCGUGUGUGAGAAAGAUAAAUAAGCUUGCCUACCAAUCUUUGAUACCUUCCUUUGUCUGUUGGUACUUGAUUGGGAUAUUCUCCAAGUUUGUGAUUCGGAAUUAUUGGAGUUUCUGUAGGCUUACAAUCAAGUAAUCCAACCUCUGUUAAUAGGUCUAAAAUAUAUUUUCUUUGAGACAGGAAUAUACCUCGCUUUGAUCUAGCAACUUCAAUUCCCAGAAAGUAUUUUAGUCCUCCUAGGUUCUUCAUUUCAAACUCAGAUGCCAACUACUCUUGAAGUCUUGCUAUCUCCUCUGAAUUGUCUACUGUGAUGAUCAUAUCGUCUACAUAGACUAUCAAAGCAGUCAGUUUGCCCUGUCUAUGCUUUAGGAACAAAGUGUGAUCGGAGUUACUUUGCUGGAAUCCAUACUUUUUCAUUGUCAUACUGAAUCUUCCAAACCAAGCUUGAGGUGAUUGUUUCAACCCGUAUAGAGUUCUUUGUAAUUUGCAAAUAAUGUUGCCUUUUGUGUUGGCUGCAUAUCUUGAGGGAAUGUCCAUAUAUAUAUAUAUAUAUAUAUAUAUAUCUUCUUCUAGAUCACCAUGUAAAAAUGCAUUCUUUACAUCGAACUGAUGCAGGGGCCAAUCCAGAUUUGCUGCAAGUGGCAACAAUACUCUCAUCGUAUUUAGUUUGGCAACGGGUGAGAAUGUUUCCUAAUAGUCAACUCCGUAUGUCUGCGUGAAUCCCUUUGCUACAAGUCUCGCCUUGUAACGCUCAACUGUUCCAUCUACCUUGUAUUUGAUAGAAAACACCCACUUGCACCCCAUUGUUUUCUGUCCUUUAGGUAGAUUGACAAGAAUCCAGGUCUUAUUUUUCAACAGUGCCUCCAUCUCCUCCUUCAUAGCCUGGACCCACCUCGGGUCAUUCAUUGCUUCUUCAACGCUUGUAUGAACCUGACACGAGGAGAGUGCAUCUGCGAAAGUCUUUAGAGGUUCAGGAAGCGUCUUUGUGGAUACAUAGUUGUCAAUCGGGUAUUUCAACCUCAGGUCUUCUAUGGUAGGAGAGUAUCUAUCUAGUGGCUUGCCUCGAUUAUGCCUGUAUGGUAACUCAUAGCCCACAUGAGCAUCAUUAGUUAACACAGGUGUACUCAGAGUGUUCAGGGAACUUACCUCAGGAAUAUUAUUAGGAGAUGGGUCUUUGGAUAUUGUGGGAUGAGGGGGUACUAUCGACUGUUGUGGUUGCUGCUCUUCAGUUACUAAUGGUAGAACACCAAGUUCUUUGUCAACAUCAGGUUCUGUAUUGGAUAUAGAAACAACAGGCUCCUAAUCAAACCUCAGCCAAUUCAACUCUUCAUUUUGAGGCGCCCCCUAAAGGGUAGAAGUGGAUGUGGUCGGAGAGUAGAAAGUCUCUGAUUCCAAGAAGGUGACAUCCAUCGUCACAUAGGUGCGAUGAUUAGAUGGAUCAUAACAACGAUAUCCCUUUUGAUGUAGGCCAUACCCCAAAAAAAGACACCGGAUUGCGCAGGGAUCGAGUUUAGUGCGUUGAUUCUUGUGUAAAUGAACGAAGGCAACACAGCCAAAUACUCGAGGCGAAAGCAUUAGGGCAGUAGGUAGAGAGAUGACAGUGGAUAGAGCCUGGAGAGGAGUCUUGAACUUAAGAACCUUAGAAGGCAUCCGAUUAAUAAGGUGAACUGCUGUAGUGACAUCAUCAAUCCAAAAAUGAUUAGGUACAUGAGCACCAAGAAGAAUAGCCCGAGUAGUCUCUAAAAUAUGCCGAUUUUUCCUUUCGGCGAUUUCGUUUUGCUGUGGUGUUUGAGGACAGGUAGUUUCAUGAAUCAAGCCAUGGCGACUGAAAUAAUUUUUGAAGUCACGGCAUAUACUCUCCACCAUUAUCGGAUCAAAGUAUGUGAAUUGUAGUAGAAUACUGAGUUUUAACCAUCUCAUGAAAUGAGCAAAAAAUAGAGAAAACUUUAUCCUUAUUCUUCAUUAGAUACAACCAUGUCAUAUAAGUGCAAUCAUCCAAAAAAAUCACAAACCAUCGACCCCCAGAUAUAGUGGAUUUGGGAGAUGGACCCCACACAUCAGAGUGAAUCAAUUCAAAAGGCAUCUGACUCUUAUUAAAACUCAAAGGAUAACUAACACGAUGACUUUUAGCUAAGAUACAUGUCUCGCAUUUAAAAGCCAAAUCCGACAAACCCAAAAAUAAAGUAGGAAAUACAAGUUUCAAAUAGCCAAAUGAAGGAUGUCCUAACCAACAAUGCCACAACAAAAUGUUCACCUUAUUUCGAUCACUAGAGCUUCUCGUAUGGUUAGCUCAACCGUUGCCAAAAUCUUCCAUAUAGUAGAGCCCCCCCCUUUUAGUACCACGCCCAAUUAUCUCCUUGGUGAGAAUAUCCGAAGAAGACAAAAGGUUGGAUAAAUUAGAACAAUACAAUUUAACUUCUUCGUGACUUGGCUCACUGACAAUAAUUUAUGAGACAAUGAGGGUACAAAAAGGGUAUUGGUUAAGGAGAGAGCUGGUGAUAUCAUCACUGUACCAGCCCCUUUUACCAAAGAAAUGUCCCCAUUAGCAUUAGCAAUGCUAGUAUGCCGAGGAGAGAAUCGUUUAGAAAAAUCACUUGCAGUGGUUUGUUGCCCCUAAAUCAAGAAUCCAAUCGUCAUAUGAUUCAGUGGCAUUGGUCCCGAGAAAACUCAUACCUGUAUCCAAAUCAACUGUUGUUGUCAGAAUAAGUGACAAUUGGGACUCAGUCGAGGCUAUCGCGGCCUUACCCGUGCCAUUAGCUGCAUUUUUGCUUGCUCCACCAUCAUUCCCAUUCCCAUCCCGUCGCCUCUUGGCUUGUAAUUCAUGCACCAAUAUGGGUAGCCAUGCAGUUUGAAGCAUGUGUCUCGAGUAUGCUUCGAAUUUCCACAAUGAGAGCAUUUCAUGUCAUUGGAUGGGCCCUUUGACUUAGAAAUUGAGUUGAAUUUUCCAUUCAAUGAUAAAGAGUUGGCUGCAGUGGAGGGCCCCUGUUUGAGGCUUCAUGAAGCCAAUACUACUCCAAUCGCCUCUUCUCCAUCAUUGGCUGUCAUCACCGCUUGACGCACAACUUCUAUACGAACAUGGGCAUACGCCUGUUCCACUAUGGGAAAUGGCUUAAGCUGCAACACAUCACUUCUAAUAUUAUCAAGUUUAUCAUCCAAACCAUCAAGAAAAGUAUAUACCCGUUCCUCCUGCAGCAUAUUGUUAAAAUAUUGGAUAUCUGCUGGACAUUGCAUUGGAUUGGGACAACAUAAAUCAAUCUCCCGCCAUAGACCUUGGAGAUCAUUGUAGUAUUUUUCCAGAGAGCCACUACCCUGCCUGAGUCGUGCCACUCACCGCCGGAGUUCAUAAACUUGGGUUGCAUCAUUUCCAUCGAAGUAAGUGGUUGCAAUUGCAUCCCAAACUUGCUUUGCCAUUGGAAACUGAAUGAAGUUGCCAAUAAGGGAUGGAUCCAUUGAACCAAUCAGCCAUCCUUUCACAGUUGCAUUCUCAGUCCGCCACCUACAGAAGGAAGGGUCGGUUGUUGAUGGUUGAGGAAGGUCGCCGUUGAUGUAGCCGAGUUUAUCCUUGCCCGCAACAUACAUCUUUACGACUAGUGACUAGAGGGCGUAAUUCGUGCCGUCCAACUUGAUGCCAAUCGGUGCAAUUGCUGAGUCGGUGGCUAGAAUGGACGUCGGAGCUUUACUCAAAGCUUCUGUCAUCCUUGCCGUAAGUUCAGACAGUACAGAUGGAGAGAUUGAAUAUUCACCCGAGUGCUCACCUAAGUGAGGAUUUGUAUCUGCCAUGUGAAAGGAGAUUGGGCUUUGUUUUCAAGAAAUUUGGUUGAACGGAGGAUAGAGGAUCGAAUUCUGCUCUGAUACCAUGUUGGUCUGAGAUAAAAUCAUAUAUUUUAUUCUAUCUUCAAUUCAUUAGAGUACAGGUGUAUAUAUAGACAAAACGGAAAAAGCUAUACAUGGACUACAUGGAUUACGACUACAAUUGCUGACCUAUAAUUGACCCUAUAAAUGAGGGAUUGCAGUGACUGAUUUUUCUCCCAUGGUAUCCAUAAUUUUCUCCUUUAAUGGUUUAGAGAAUAGCUCACGCCAACAUAUACAAAUUGAAUUACCUGCAAAUCCUGAAUAUCAACUUGUCCAUAUGAAGGCCAGGAACAUGCUGGCCUGUUUUCUUCUAUGACAAGAGGAGGCUCACUUGGAAUGGAAGUGUAUUGAAGCAUUCUCUCAACUGAUAUAAUUUUAUUCUCCGUAUUGCAAAGACUCCAUAUUACCCCAAAUUGUAACAUGUUCAAAGUAAGUCUAUAUGUCACUGCUAGGCCCGCAAUACCUUUGAUGGAAGUGGAAAAGAGUGUUAGUAAUUUUCCUAUGCCAUUUGCUAUUGAGAGUGAAAUGGAUAAUUAGUGAAUAUACCAUAUCAGAGUUACUUACCAGGAUCAAUUACUCCCUCUGGAACAGAGAUUAAAAAAACCAAAGAGAAGGCAAAUGUAACAGAAGAUAGCAUAUCCAAGCGGAAGCACAGCCAUUCCAUUGCACCAGCAAUGUUGAACUUGGGCCGUAAAUACCCAUCUACUAAUUUCAUGUUUGUGUCCUUGAAUCUAGAUUCUUGAUCAAAGCUCCUGACGGUCAUAGAUCCUGAUAUAGUUUCAGAAAAAUGUUGAAUUACUGGAGCUUUGCAUACUCUGGCCAAUCUUGACAGUUCUCGUGCUGAAGAUAUGUAAUAUUGCUGCAUAAUUAUAAUGUUGCAUGAACCUUGUGCUCAUAUAUGAUAUAAAUCUAAGCUUCAAGGGAGUACCGAAAAAAAGGGAGAAAAAUGGUUUUGGAGAUAAUUAAAAAACAGAAAUACAUUACUUAAACACAGCAUCUAAACUGCAAAACCGGCGGUCCAUCUUGCAGCCAAUUUCAUUACCCUUAUCUUAAAAAUGACUUGGCACUAAAAAACCACCAUAUCAACAGUAAAGAAACUUUCAUUUUGAGGCCAUAGUAAUUGACAUGGUACAUACAAAUUGGCACCUCCUCAAUAUGCAAUGCUUGUGAUUGGGCCCCAGCUCAGCAGGAUCAGAAAGGAACAUGAGCAUGCCAUGAAUUGUAAGAGUUACCCUGAAUUAGGAUUCCAUUUUAAUGCAGUUGGUUUAAAAUGAAUCAAAUUACUCGAUAAGCAAUGCACUACUCCAAAUUUUUUGCUAAGCAACAUUUUGGAGUAAAGUUCUGUUUAUACCAAAAAUGGUUUUGAACCUACUGGCAUUUUCAGGAACAGAUAUGAUUGAUAAUCUAAUCUGCAAGAGUACAUGGCAUCAGUAAGCGAAGAAAAUUAAUGUAAUAUGAGAAACAUAAGGUGAUCUUAACAACAGAGCAUGAGAUGUCAUGUGACAAAGCCAUGUGUUGGCUGGCAUUAAAUAACAAGAAGAGGUCCUAACAAGUUCACAAUGGUUACCUGAUACCAGAUGCAGGUUGCAAUCACAGGAAUAAAGACAAUGAAAACCUGCCAUGCAACCUGUGACAUAACUGCAAUAAUUGCCAGGAGCCGAAUCAAUGAGAAGGCAAAUGCCCCAACUUGCAUGGGAAUGUUUGUGUCGAUCGCAUUUUGGUCUGUAGAAGCCUGAAAAAAGGGAAGGAUCAAUUAAGUAAUAAUCUAACACUUCACUUUGGUCAUUAGGGAAAAAUGCAAGGCAGAAAUAAAUAUAUAUUCAUAUUUGCACUUACUCUGUUUAGAAUCCGUCCACUUGGGGUGGCAUCAAAGAAUGACAUUGGGGCACGGAAAAGGCUCAAAUGCAUUUUAUUGAAGACUAUAGUAGCUGUCUUGUAACUAGCUGUUACAAGAAGCAUGGCUCUAGAAAGGACGCAAAAAGAACUUCCAACAGCCAAAGCUACAUAAACAAUCAUGAGAGUAGAACCUCUAACUGCAGGUUUCACAUCAUCUGACACGGGACUUGCCCAAGCCAUCCAAUAAUUGCUUCCAAUCUGAAGCAGCUGAAAGAGAAUCUGUGACAACAAUAUAAAGGGCACAAGAGCUCCUCCAUAUGCUGUCCUGGUGUAUUUCCA
Molecule: long non-coding RNA, 51540 nt
Filed under: Vitis vinifera (wine grape)
Lineage: Eukaryota; Viridiplantae; Streptophyta; Magnoliopsida; Vitales; Vitaceae
Description: long non-coding RNA (VVIN_LNC006501)
Source: RNAcentral